Molecule: long non-coding RNA, 87669 nt
Filed under: Solanum lycopersicum (tomato)
Lineage: Eukaryota; Viridiplantae; Streptophyta; Magnoliopsida; Solanales; Solanaceae
Description: long non-coding RNA (SLYC_LNC000893)
Source: RNAcentral
AAAGUAAAGAGUUAAAUAAAUAUUUUACAGAGAAAUCAAUGAAAAAAAUAUAUAUAUAUAUAUAUAUAUUAUGUGUAUUAACUAAUUGUAUAAUAUGACAAAUUAAAAAAAUUCAGGUAGAUAGUAAAAAAAAAAAAGGGUUGUCCUUAGAAAUUUGAAUCCCUGUUCAAGGGUACUUAUGUCCUUUUCCGUUUUAAUCAUUUUUAUUUUAUUGGAACCUUCUUGGUCCUUCUGAUUCUAUAUUGCAAACUUUUUAUUGCCGGAGAAAAUAUUUUCUUAGUCAAAUCAAUUGUUGCCAAGAGAAGAUCGGUUGUUAACAAAUUCAAUUUUUAAGCAAUUUUGUUUAUUUACUAUCAAUCCCAAACAAUAUUCAUUUUCUUUCUCUUCUUUUUUUUUUUGGUAAUAAAAGAUAAUUUAUAUGUAUAUAACCCUAGUUAGCUAUUACAUUGGAUAGAUUAGUGUUCCGUAAUCUUGCCAGAUUAAUACAAGUUGCUACGGACACUUGUUUAGUGGUAAUGUGUCACGUUAUAUCCUCCACUAGGUAGUGCGUCACCAUAGUAGUAGGAGUUAUAAAAACUACACAAACUUCAUUAGUAUUUCUAGUUCUUAGCAUGAUUUGCCAAAACAUGGGCUACUCUAUUGCCUUCCCUGAAGUUAUGCUGGAUUGUUGGAUUUCUGCAGUUUCCUCAGCCAGUACCUGCCAUGACAUUAGAUUGGAUGAGACCCAACUGCUGCCAGAAGGUAAGGGCAAUAGGGCACUCUACAAAGAUGUGCUUAGUGGUCUCAAUGAACAUAUUGCAGAUCUUGCAUCUAUCGUGAUAACACAACCAUAAAAAGAAUUUAAUUGUAGGGAGAGUGUUAAGCUGUCAGAUCCAACGUAAGUCUUUAGUAUGGUGGUGGCUAUAAUAGGGGUUAAUGAGCCUAUUAACUGAUUCCAUGUUGAAUCUACUAUUCUCAUUUAAGAAAGAUGAUAUAGUAGAGAGCUACGAGAGGCUAACUCAAUUGGCGUCCACAAUUCUAUAUCAACUUGGUAGCGUAUAUUGUUAGAUAACAUUUCCAUACAUAGUAUAAAGAUAUAAAGGCCAUCCUUGCCGAAUACCGCUAGUUGGAUUAAAAAAAUAGUUUUAGCACAGUUAACAAGGAUUGCCAUUGAAGGCGUAGUACAUGACAUGAAAUGGUAAACAUAAUAAAAUAAACAGAAAUAUUUACUAACCUACAAACAUGAAUAUCCACUUUGAAAUCCAGCCAUAAAGAAAAGUAUGAAACCCUAGCCGCGAAAUGAGGGAGAACGGGUGAAUAUAUCAUUUCUGAAAUAAUGAAAUGAGGGGGGGGGGGAGAAUAAUUAGGAUUUAGGGAUUUAGUCUAUGUGGCAGUGGAACCUUAUUGGCAUGCAAUGUGGCAUCCACAUGACAUUUAACAAAUUCUAUUGAUAAGAAGGAUACUUUUGAACCAAUAGUUUGACGGGAAGGACAGUUUUGAGCCAAAAUAUAGUUUAAGGAUAAAUAUGAGGUAUUUCUUAUAUUUUAAGGAUAUUUUUGACCCUUUCUUUUUAGUCUAUGUGGUAGUGGAAUCCUAUUGGCAUGCAAUGUGGCAUUCAACAACUUCCGUUAAUAAGAAGGAUACUUUUGACCUAAUAGUAUAACGGAAAUGGUAGUUUUGAAUUGAAAUAAAGUUUAAGGGUAUAUAUGAGCUAUUUCAAAUAGUUUAAGGAUAUUUUUUUAUCCUUUUCCCUAUUUAUUCUAGUAUUAUUCAACCUACUACAACUAUUGCUAGAAUGGGUAAAGACUAUUAUUUCAAGCAAUUUACUACAAAAAAAUAUAGUUUGAAAUGUCAUUACUUUGUUGCUAAUUAAAAUAUCUCAAUUAACUCACUCUUAGAAAAGGAGAGCUUUGCAAAAGAUAGGUAAACAAUAAUUUCUAUAAUAUGUGUUGAAUAGUAUUAGUGACGAUUUUUUAUUGUUUAGAGACCUAAAUUGUUUGUCGAUAGCCAAUUCUUGUUUUUUUAGUAUAUGCAUAAUACAUAAACAUGACCCUUAACUUGGUUUCAACAAACAACUACGCCCUUCAACUUUGAAUGUGCACAAAUAAACACGUAAACUUGUAUAAAAUUGUACAAGUAGACGCAAGUGCCCUACAUGGCAUAAUACACGUUGGCAUGUAGGACACAAAAUUGUCAUGUAGGAUGAAUGUGUAUAUUUGCUCAAUUUUAUAGAAGUUUAAGUACCUACUUGUGCACACCCAAAAUUAAAGGUAAUAGUUAUCGACUGACGUCAAGUUAAAAGUCAUGUUUAUGCAUUAUUCGUUUAGUAUAUCUUAACUAGUUAUAUUGCAACAUUAAUUUUAUAAUUUAAUAAAAUUCACUGGAUAUAGUUGAAAUUAACUAGUCGGAUAUAUUAUUUAUAAUAUGACAUGGAUUACCAUUACAACUUUAUUGUAUAUCAUGUAUAUAUAGUCAAUUAUUUUAACCAACAAUACACUGUAUAAAGGAGGAAAUAACUAUGAAAUUUAACAGUAGAGUGUCUUUUUAUGACUUUCAUUUUCGACGAUUGUGUCAAAUUAUGUCACCUAUUUUGCAAUUAUUAGCCACACUAAUCAGUAAACAAGUUACUGCAACAAUAUCAAACUCUAACAUAUGAAUACACUUUUUAUGUGUGCUGUAUUUGAUAGAAAACCGCAGUUGUUAUUAGCUAUGUAACUCUGAAUUUAUCACAAGAUUCAGCAAAUACAGUUUUACAGAAUUCUAAUUUCAUACCGAAACUAUUGAGUCGUUGAUUUAUGUAAGACUUGUUUAACCAUAAGAACUCGUCUUCUUUCAGGAAUCCACUUUGUCUUCGAUGGAGCAUCGUCUGAAACUAGUUUAUAACCAGCAUUUGUAUAUAAUUUUCGAGCACCAAAAUCAUCCUCGUAUGCCUUUAGGACUAGAUAUUCAAUACUCCAAACACUUGCAAGAACAUCACAUUCCUUAAGCAAAGCAGUUGCAACUUUCUGCCUCCUGCAAUUGUGAUCAAUAUCGCGCAAUUGUCAGCAAAAUUAGUAUUUUACGCCAUGUUAUAGAAAACAUCAAUUCAUUUUACUUGACCUGAAUUUGUUCAAUACAGCAACCCCUGAAAUAUAGAUAUAUUUUGUUGCUAAUGGAAUGUAGUGAAGGAUAUCUUUAUCUUCUUUCACUGUAGCAUCAAUGACUCCUACAAGAUGUUAUUCUUCCUCAUCGCUUGAGACGGCUUCCGCGACUAAACAUGCAUACCUAUGUACUCAACAAUUUUUAGUACAAGAAUAACAUUGAUCAAGAAUUGAAAAGUUUUGAUUCUUUUUUUUUUUUACCUGUCUGGUGCAUAAUGCUUGAGUCUGUAAUAAAGAUUUGAGAAUUGUUCAACCUACAUAAUCACCACAAUUCUCAUUUUCAUUAGUAAAAAGAAGAAGAAGAAAUCAAGAAUGCGUUUUUCGGAGAAUUAAGGAACCUUAAAGAAUUGAAAGAAGAAAUCAUUGGAGUAAAGUCGAUGUUCAUAAAAGGCAUCAGUUUGAAUAGCAGCAACUUCCAUCAUUUCUUCUUCACUCUCAAUUACUCUUCUCACUUUCCAUAAAUCAUUCGUUUCGUACUCAUCGCUCUUUUGUGACUUCACUUUAUCCCUUGAUCUUCUUCUUGUUGUUGUUGUUAAUGGAAGUGGAAUAGAUUGUCGAUUGCAACACUCAGCAAUGGACAAUCUUUUUGGGAAACAGCAAAUUCUUGUGGCUCUGUUAAUGGAGACUCUGCAUUUCCAUGAAAUUUCUUUCUGAAAGUUCAAUUGCCAUUGACAUUGCGCCAUCUUUUUCUCUCUUCCAAAGAGGGGAAAAAACUUAUUUGAUUUAUGGAGUUCAAUUGGUUAUUUCAGUUGUAGACUGUUAGCUUUUCUGUAACUUUAUUUAUACUCUUCUCAUUCCAAAUCUAUUUUUUUUUUAUUUCCUUUUCUUUUGUUACCUAAUGAAAAACAUUAGGGUGUGUUUGGUAUAACGGAAAAUGUUUUCUUUGUAAAUAAGUGGAUUUCAAAUUUAUUUUUUCAUCCUUGGUUGGUGAAAAGAAAAUAUUUUCUGAUAUUUGGUUAAUGAAUAGAAAAUAUUUUCCAGAAAAUGUCUUUUAUUUUUUCGUUUAAGACAAGGAAAUACUCUGUAAGAAAAUAAUUUUUUAUUAAUCGAGGGUCAUAUCCUGACACCCAAGCUUGGACUAGAUCCGACAAUCAUUCCAAAAUUUGAUCCUGAGAUCUCACCCAGACUUUUGAGGUGGCGUAGAGAUUGAAAUUUUUUAAAUUUAAAGUAAUUUUUUUUUAAAAAAAAAAUUGAGGGCUUGGUGUGUGGUCACGUAGAAAAAAAUUUUAAAAAAAUUCUACCGGGGUGGCUUGGUAGGGGUUUAGAGGUGGUGAGUCAAGUAAAAAAUGAAAUAUUUUUUAAAAAUAUAUUUAAAAAAAAUGGGGGUUGCCUGGGUGUGGCGUAAAAAGAAUUCUUUAAAUUAUUUGAUUUUGAUAAAAAUAAAAUUAAAGAAAAAAAAUUUAGGGGACUUAAGGAUAGCAUAAAAUGCUUUAUUAAAAUUUAAAAAUAAUUUUUGUAAAUAAAUAAUUGAUGGGGGUGACACAGGGGGUGAGGGGUGACGGGAAUGGGAUGGGGUGAAAGUAGGUGUUGGGUUAGGUAAAAAUAAUCUUAAAAUUUGAAAUAUUUUUUACUAUUUUUUAAUUUUUUUUGUUUGUUGGAGGGGGGGGGGGUGUUUAGGAGUAGGGUAAAAUAUAUGACAAAAAUAAGAAAAAUUUAAUUUAUUUAUUUAUUGAUGAGGAGAGUCGGGGUACAAUGUAGGUUUAAGAAAAAAAAAAUAUUAAAGAAUGAAGUGGAGUUUUUGAAAAUGUUUUCCUAAAUUAAGGGAAAAUUUUGAGGAAAAAUAUGUUGAUUUGAAAAAUAUUUAAGUCAACCAAACAUGGAGAAAUUGAAAUUUAUACCAAAACACCCUUAGAAUAAUGGAUUGUUACAUAAGGUGAUUGUUACACAAGGGAUUGUUUUGGACAAUAAAAAUUAAAUGACUAUGUAAAAUAUUUAGUAAAUAUAUUUUAAUUCAUAGAUAUCGAAUAAAUUAGACUCAAAAUGAGAUAAAUUAAUUAUGAUGUAAAGGAAAAUGUUUGGUUCAUUCCUUAAAAAGGAAUUGGUGGCAAUCUUUACAACACUUUCUUUGUCACAAUACAUGGAUGUGGGAGAGAAAAAGUGAAUGGUAAAAUUAGUCAACAAAGGCAAGAUCAAACAUAAAUUGAUUAAAAAUAUAAAUAUCAUGAAAUUUCAAACUAAGGAGUCCAUGAAUGGCCGGGGGUCUGAGAAAUAUUUCCCAUCAAUCUUAGAAUAAUGAUUGUUCUACUCCUUGGGUGUAACAAUAGUGGUCACAUCAGUUAGGUGAUCCAUGUUCUUUCUUUGGUAUACGUCCAUUGGUAAAGAAAGUAGUCAUCACUACAAAGAUUGUAACAUACAUUUAUGCUUUAAAUAUCUUCGACGUCAUCCCUAAUAAUUAAGAGAUCAUCAAAAUAGAUUUGCAUAAAAAAACCUCUCUUGUGGUGAGGAGGAGAUAAAUAGAGAAUAAUGAUUGUGAGUCUAUCGAUAGCCACAUUGCACAAGAAGAGGCUUCAGCUUAGAGAACUAGACUUUGUCAAGUAUCUUUUGAAUUACUUUUCAACACUCUCCCUUGAUUCAAAACUAAAAGCUCUAAGUUAACCUUGGAAGAAUUUAUGCUUUGCUUGCGGAAGUGACUUCGUAAAGAUGUAUGUUGUUUUCUCAUUUGUAUCAUAAGACUUCACAUUAAUUUCUCCAUUAGAAACAAGACUUCAAAUAUAGUGAUAAUGAAUAUUUAUGUGCUUUCUUUUACAGUGGAAUGUUGACUUCUUUGUUAUCGCAAUAGAAGAUCUAUUGUCACAAAAAAAAAACUCUUAGUUGCAUUAACUGGUUUGGUUUCUGAUUAAAAUCAGCAACAAGUCUCUAUUACCAAACUGCUAGACAAGCUGCCAAAAUUUUUGCAGUAUAUUAGGCCUCUAAAGUUGAUAAGGUCGCUGCUUGCUACUUUUUUGAACUCAUUCCUCCAAAUCCAAGAUCAAACAAGAAGUCAGAUGUUCUCUUUGUAUCAUCAAUGUUGUCAAUAUAGUCACUAGUAGUAAGUACAGUUAAUGUGAAAUUUGUUACCUUAGAAUAUCAAAUUUCAUGUUUUGUUGUCCUAGUGAUGUAUCUCAAUAUUCUCUUUAAUUUGCAUCUCCAAGGCGAAGCUUGUUAAAAUUAUGCAUAAAUCUUCAUACAACACUAAUAGAGAAAUCAAUGUUUGAUUUUGUAUGAGACAAGUAGUUCAAACCAGAAGUUUUGACCAAAAUGAGCUAUUUCUAAAACCAAUUCACCAAAAUAAUAUGUUUUUAACUUUUUUCACAAAACUAGUAUAAACGUACUUUAUGGUAACGUUUUAGGAUAUUUUCAUUAUAAAAAUUCAACGGACAAAAAGUUAACGGGUUGGCGACGUUAAACACAUAAACGUAACUGUGAGUAACGUUUUAGGUGUAAAACGUUACUCAAGAGUACGUUUUUGGAGAAUCCAAUCACGGGCCACUGACUCCAAUCCUGCAAAGGCGGAGUCAAAUCAUUCAACGGUAAAACGUUACUAUGAGUGACGUUUUACACUUAAAAUGUUACCUUGAGUCCGUUUCUUAAGAAUCCAAUCACGGGCCUUCGACUUCUGCAAAUUUAGAAUAUAUUUCGCUAUAAAACGUUACUCACAGUAACGUUUUACCUUAAAAACGUUGCUAUCAAUUACAACACUCUGUUAAAGUCAUAUUCCUCCAUUUUUCAAACUGACCAAAGUGACUAUAAAUAAAUGUUGUUGUAAUUUUUUUUCAUGUUCAAAUAUAAUUCAGCAAAAUUUUUCCUUGUGUGGUCCAUUUUAAAAAUAAUAUUCAGAAAAUUUCAUCAGGUAUGAAGUAAAUAAGUGAAGUUUAUCCUUUGUUAUGUUCUUAUUAUAGCUUUAAAAUUAUCUUUCUAAUUUAAUAAUAUUGUUUUAAAAAAUAUUUUAUCUUUAUGUGUAGGAUUAAGAUGACGAGCUUUGAACAUAAUGUGAUGGUUGCUUUGUAUUGGGGUGGAGAAAUAAUUACGGAUAUGAACGGAUUUAGGUAUACUGAAUGUGCUAGAACGAUUAUUAGCAUGUCGACUUCAACUACCUAUGUUGAAUUGGUUGGAUUGUUACAUGAGAAAAUGGGAACAUAUAGUGAAAAUAUUCAUAUGGAUAUUUCUGGAAAAUAUCCAUGUUUGAUUCAAGGUAACAAUACAAGGGUCAUUGAGUUUAAAAUUGAGAAUGACCAAUCUUUGCUACAAUUUCUUUUCAUACCUCAAAAAUUUGCGGAUAAGAUUGAUAUAAAUGUUUUGGAGAUGUAUGUAAAGACUGUAUCGACAGAACAAAAUGUUGCAUUUCAAGUUAGUGGUCAUCAUGGUUAUCACAUGAAUUUGUUGGCUCAAAAUUAUGGCCUUACCACGAUCAAUCAACCUCAUUUUGUAGAACCGAUUGUUCAACCAUCAUUUCAACAAUUGUUGAUGCAUGAUCAUCGAUCAUUUGGUGAAGGCUCAAGUAGUCAAAUGCAUAUUGAUAACAGUCACAUAGAAUAUGAGGCUAGGUAAACAACAAAUCUUUAUUUUAUUAAAUUUUAGUCUAACAAUUUAAUAAGAUAAUUUUUAUUGUAAGUAUACACAAAUUAUCUCUUAUAAAUAGAAGAAAUAAUAUUUUAGAAUAUUUAUUAUCGCUUUUAAAACAAGCUUGUAUAUUUAUAAUUUUGCUAGAAUUUGACUAAUAUUUUUUUACAGAGAUAUUGAUAUCAACGUUGAUCUAUAUAAUGAUGUAAAUGCUGAAAUUAGUGAUGAAAGUUCGGAGGAAGAUGAACCUCCGAAAGAUGGUGAUGAAAGUGAACCUGAUGAAGAUAUCGAUGAUAUUAGAGAUUUUUCUCAAAAUGGUGUAAAUCUUCAUAAUCAUGAUCAGGGUGUGUCUCAUGACAUACCCUAUUUCAGGACAUUAGAGAAUGAGGAAGACAUUUUUAUGUCUACAUGUGAAUCUGAGAUGGAAUGUUGUUCCGUUUGGUCUGAGCAAGCAAAAAAGAUUUAAAAAAAAGGUAUGCUUUUAAGUAGUAAAGAAAAGUUGAAAAUGGCUGUAACGAUUUGGAGUUUGCACAAAAAUAAGGAGUUCAAGGUGGUAACAUCUACCAAAAGUCUAUGGGUUGUGAGAUGUAAGUUUUAUAAUUUAUUGGGUUGCAUGUGGUUUCUUCGAGGACGACAAGUUAGAGAUAAAUUUUGGAAGAUAGGAAAAUAUGUUGAAAACCAUAGAUGUGAGACUGAGGGGCUUUCUAGCGGUCACGCCAACCUAAAUACCAAUUUGAUUGCAUCACUACUUCUAAAUCAAAUUAGAAAAAAUCCUAAGUUCUUGGUGGUAGAUGUCAUUUCAAAGGUUCAUGAAAAUUUUGGUCACCAAGUGACAUAUAGAAAAGCAUGGCUUGGACGUCAACGCGCUUUUGAAUUGGUAUAUGGUGACUUUGAGAAAUCAUUUAGUGACCUACCUAAAUUUUUUGCAGCUUUUCAACACUUUAUCCAUGGAACAAUUGUGGAAUGGAAACAUGAAGAGUCUAUGAGUUCAUCGGAGGUAAAAACUUUUAAAUUUGUAUUUUGGGCUUUCAAGCCAUGCAUUGAUGGAUUCCAAACAUGUCGCCCAGUUAUUUCAGUAGAUAGAACUCAUAUUUAUGGAAAAUAUGAGAUCAAAUUAUUAAUUGCUGUUGAAAUUGAUGGGAAUGAUAACAUUCUCCCUUUAGCGUUUGCUAUUGUAGACAAAGAAUCAAAAGAGGCAUGGAAAUGGUUUUAGAAAUUUGAGUGCACAUGUGAUAAAAAGUAGACAAAAUGUAUGUGUUAUAUCUGAUAGGGCAAAAGGAAUCUUGACUAGUUUGCAGGAGUUGCGGCGAUUUCAAGAGCCUCGAGUCUUCCAUCGGUUUUGCAUAAGACAUCUUAAGAGUAACUUUCAAUCUAAAUUUCCAAACAAGGACCUCAGCAGAUUGAUGUGCAGGGCUGCUUCAGCCCAUCAAGUAAGGAAGUUUGAGUCCAUGAUGUGGCAAAUUAAAGAAGAAAAUAUCGAAGCAUAUGCAUACCUCAUGGAAAUUCCCUUGGAUAAAUGGACUGUUAGCCAUGAUGAUGGAAAAAGAUGGGGAAUGUUGACAAUAAAUCUUUCAGAGUCAUUCAAUGGAGUAAUGAAAAAAGCACGAGGUUUGUCUGUCACUGCUAUGAUUAGACUUUCAUUGGAGCAAACUAUUGAACGGUAUACCCGUAGGUAUCAAAUAGCACACCAACUUGCAGAGCAAAAUGAAUUAUGGACCGGGAGGUUCAAAAUAAAGUGGGAGAAGAAUUAUGAAAGUUCAAAGAGGCACUUUGUUUUUGAUUGGAAUAUACCCACAGGAGUAUACGAGGUUAGAUCUAUACAAGUUGAUGGUACUGGUGGUAAUCAUUGUGUUUCACUAAAUGAAAGAAAAUGUGAUUGUGGAAAAUGGGUUAAUCUGCACUUCCCGUGUUCACAUGUCAUAAAGGUAACUGAUAGAAUGAGAGGGCUUGCUAGAAAUUUUGUUAGCGAGCAUUUCAUAAUAGAGAAUUAUGUUGCAACAUAUUCUGGGUCAUUCUCACCAAUUGGUCAUGAGUCAUAUUGGCCAUCUCUAAGUUUUACAAUGACAAGUAAUGAAUUCUAUCGUCGUCCUAAUCGGCCAAGGACAACUAGAAUAAAUAAUGAAAUAGAUCGUAGUUCUACAGUGUAUGAGCGAGCUUGUGGAUUAUGCAGGCAGACAGGACAUGAUAGGCGUCAAUGUCCCAACCAUUAUUAAAUUUAAGUGAAUAAUUGUGGGUCAAUGUCUAAUGGUGUUAAUUUUCUUUAUGUUAUCUAAUGUAACGUGAAUUUUUCCAGAUUGCUAAUAAAGGAAAAUUAUUAAUGUUAAUUUCCAAAUUUCCAUUUAUAUUAAUUUCCUUUCAAUUAUUAGUGCAUAAAGUUAUCUAUUACAUAAGCUUAGAAUCUUAGAGGGAAAAACUAACUUAACUUAAAAAUUCUCACAUUACUAAUACUCAAAUAAUUCAAAAUAUAUUUGUUGCCAACCUUGGUGAUUCCCAAGCUGCCAACCUUGGUGAUUCCCGAACAAAAUUUCAUAUUUCAAUUAUUAGUGCAUAAAGUUAUCUAUCACUUUUCACAAACUUGAAGUUACAUUAUGGAAUACUUGAAAAACACAAACUAAAUAUAAAAUAAUUGAAACAUUCAUGUAUUCAUAGAUCAUGUUGCUUUACAAAAUAAUGACUAGUAGCUUCAUUCUUCACAAAAUAUCUCUACUAUUCACCAAGGGUUAUCCAGAAUAUCAACAAGCUGCAUCAACCUAAGAAAAAAUGAUUAAGAAAACUUUGAUGAGUUACAUUCACCAAGAAUCUCAAAGUUAAAGAAUAUAAAUAUCAGCUAAAAUUAAGUCAAACGAUAUAUUUAUAUAUUAUGCAUGCCUAUUUAUAAUAUAAGAAGCAGCAAUUCAACUGCUUCAAAUAUAUGCAGAGGGUGUAACUAAUUAAACUUGCAACCAAUACACCGGCGUUCCAAAUAGCUCAGUUGUAGAGAAGAGGAGACAUAAAAACAAAGAGAAGAAAAUUUCUCAUGAUAACCACUCUGAUGGAGGUAUUCAUCUUUAGUAGUCACAUUUUGAACUUGCUGCCAUCGUGAAAUUCUGGUAUUUAUCUUUAUUUUCUGUAUGGGAUGUUUGACAGGUACGAAGGAUGCAAAUACAAGGAACACAAGUGAGGUAGAAUCAGAUGUAUCUUCCAAAAAAAUUAUACAAGAUGAUGCACUCGAUGACGAGAACCAGACCUUCUGCCCAGUUGUUGAAAAGUCUAGAUGGAGUUCAAGCAGUAAAAUGCCAGAGAUGAUUCGUGACAAAUGUAAGAACAGGGACUCAGAGGAUGAUUCAAAGAAAGACUUGGUUUCAGCAAAGAAACCAGAAGCUUAUAUUUCCGAUGUGUCAACGCAGAAGGGGAGAGUCAACGAAACAAGUCCUUGCAGAGUAACUAAACAAGCAUGAUACAUAUCACUGUUUCAACUAAUCCUUGUAGAAGACAGGCAAAAAGACAGGCAAUGCAUCAAUAAAUGUUUGAUCCAAACCAGAAUCAUGUAAAUGGAAUAACUGUUGUAACUGUCUUUGCAAAGCAUCUGAACUAGAAACUUCAGGAUAUCCAUUAGAUUGAGAUGAUGCUGAAGAAGAAGGGUGUUUGACUCCCUGACAAACAAGAAUAAUUUUCAGUUGUUCGACUAAACAGAGGAGCAUUUAUGUCAAAAAAAUAAAAUAAAGAUGUUAAUAGUAUCAGUCCCACAACGCUUAGGAAAUAUCUUAUGCUUCUCCUUCGCCGAUGGUUCACCACAUUCGUUUGCAUUCUCCACUUCAUUGUUGGAGUCCUCUAAAUGAUUAACAACACCAAAGGUCUUAAUGGACAUUGGCAGCCCAUGUGAUGAAUUAAAGUUGGGGGCAUUCUCAAAAUGUUGAGGUCGAGAACCACCAAAUAUAUUCUCAAGUGAUGAAAGACUAGAAUUCCUUAAUAUUUGUGAUGCCGUGUAUGGAAUAAUAUCAGUAUUUGUUGGUUGAUAUGUCAUACUUGAUGCCCCGGGAGUGAAUUCUUGAGUUUGGCCCCUUGAAAUGGAACAAAAAUCACAAGUUGUGUGAUCAUCUUCGGAGACUGAUUCAUCCAUUUCAAUAGGUGCUCGUCCUUUCUCAACAGCAAGAGCCCUCCUACCGGCAACACCACCUUUUCCUCGCCUACGAACCGGAUGAUGUAAAUGAUCAUCAUGUACCUCAUCUCUUCUAUAAUCGGCUUGUACAUUAAUCCUAGCAGCCUCGUGCACAUAUGUCAAGCACUUUUCUCCUUCAUUUCGGACCAUUGCACGAAAUAUGUAUAAAUCCUCCAUUGAUGGUUGAUCACCAAGGGCUUUUGCUCUAUCAACCAUGGAAUGAAUAUGACGCACCUACACAAAGAUCAAUUUUUUUUCUUACAAACAUUUUUCAUUCUUUUUUUUAACAGAUGCUCAAACAAAUAUCAAACUAAAGAACUUAUUUUAUAUUUUUUAAGAAAAAACAUAGGUAACAAUUUUCCAAGUAACAUUUUUCGAGAAGAAGCAAUAUUAUACUCAAAAGAUAAAUCACAAACACACUAAAUCUAAUACAUACCAUUGUUUCAUAUGCCGUUGAAUUGGGCACAUAACCUUCUUGUUGUUGAGGACGCUGAGUAGGAUUACCAAUAACAAGACGAGUAAUGCGUAUAAACCAAAUAAGGUAAGGGUCAUCAUAUCGAAGUGGUUCACGAUUGACCGGAGCAUCACAAACAUAUUGAAGUCGUUGGUUCCAAAGAGGCAACCAUUGUGCAUGCUCCAAGUACCAAUUUGUAUUUCGUCUGCCCCUACGAUCAUGGUGAAAAUGUGUUGCAUCAAAUAGAAAUGGAGUUGGUAUCGUUUGUUUUAAUCCAAAUUGUCUCAUAACUCGAUCAGGCAAGUGAACCUCAACGAUAUCCCAACAAAAAAUUGGAGCUCUUACACGCCAUAUGUCUCGUUCAAUUUGACAAUAAUCAGGACGACUCUCAAUUAAGUCAUCCAAAUAUGGUUCCCAAAUAAACUACAUAAAGAAAAAUACAUGAGUUUCAACUACAAUUUAUACAUAAUUUUUUUUAAAGAAAAACAGUAUAACAUCAUACCUGAUCCUCUGUCAUGGAAUCAAGUGCAUCCCUAAAAACUUUCAACACAUGCUUAGUGGUACCAGUCCAACUAAAAUGUGCAAACCAUCUAGUAGCACGUGGACCCCUAGGUAAACAAGCAAGAAAAUUAUUUUCGAUGUCCCUUUGUGCUAUUACCUGAGGUCUGAGGACGGUUACUCUCUCCCAUGCCCAAAUCUAAAUAUAAUAUAUAAAUAUAUAAUUAUGAUAUUAUAAACUAGAAGAAAUAUUUAUAAAGAAUUGAUGUAAUUAUUAAGUAUGCCUGAAGUAGUGGUAGAAAGCCAGCUAUCUCAUUUUGGUUACUCUGUGAGGCCUUACAGAGAAAGCGAUACAAGCACGCUAAGGUGGCACUACCCCAACUAUAAGAGCUAACUACAUUGAGAUCCUCGAGCAUAGGAAGGUACAUAAGCUUUAGAUAGUUGCCGGAUGUAUCUGCCAUCAUCAUAACAACAAUCAUCCAAAACAUGUAACAUCUAGCCAUUUGAUCGAUCAUUUCUUGUGUUGUCAAGUCAGGUAACUUUAGUUGCUCGAACAUAUGCGCAUUAAGUGUAGUUACCUUGAGGCUACUACGAUUGAAGUCUUGAGGACGUGGAAUAAAACCUAACAAUCUUUGACAAAUAUUUUGCCAAUCCCCUAUGGUCCUUAUCGACUCAUCACCAAGUACUGGAUCACCAUUCACAGGUAAGCCAUAAAACACUUCUACAUCUUGCAAGGUGAUUGUCGCCUCACCCGUUCUAAAGUGAGAUGUAUGAGUCUCGGGACGCCAUCUCUCUACUAGUGAAGUGAUCAAGCUACGAUCAAUAGAAGGUCGAUUUGAUCUAUAAACACCAUAUAGUCCUGAUAACUCAAUCAUUUCUAAGACUCGUGGAUGAAUGGGAUAUUUCUUUACGAGGUCCCAAAAUUUUCCAUCACAGCUCCUCGUAUUUAAAAUCAUAUUAACACUUCCAUUCCAUAUAUCCCGUGACCUAUGGGUAAGUUGUUGAAUUAGUACCGAUGGUUCAAGUGGAUCGGCAACCAAUCGAUAUGCACUAUAACCAGUCAUAUACGUAUCUAUUAAACUGAAAAAUCCAUAUGAAAGUAAAUUAAAUAUAAUUGUUAGUCCAAAAUAUAACAACCAAAUCAAAGUAAUGUACUGUCACCAAAUUGUUUCUCUUUGCAUCAACAAGAUGCAUGAAUUCAAAAUAAAAACAGAACAUGCAGAUUAGAAUUUCUUAAGUGAUUAUUCUAUAUAACCAAAACGAUAUAAAUACGAGAAGAUAGAAAUUCUAAAAUUCAAGCAUUCCAUCUACUAGUUUGUAAGGAAAAAAAACAUACCUCAGGGCUCUAAUACAGGAAAUUAACUUGAUUCCAAGCUUUCCAGAAGAUUGAUAGCCACAAUUUAUCGUGAAACUCGAUAUAACAAGAAAUCCCCAAAAUUGAUUUGGAAAACUACCGCUACCAUUUAUCCACAAAAUGAAAUUUUAAUCCAUUCAUUGUCUUCCUGUGUUUUUGUUCUUUCACACCUCCUCUUCGUCCACAAAUUACCGAUCGAAAAUGGAACUAAUUUUAUAUUACUGACCAUACAUGAAUAGGGAUGGUGAAGGAACUUACAGGUGGCUAUAUAAUCAAUAUCAUGCGAAAGGGUUGGAGAGUGACCCAAUUGAAAUUGACUUCACUCCUCCCUUCAGGUUUGGGAGCUUUUCUGGUUUGUCAUGUUUUGGUUUAGUUUACAAGGCACUAAGAUACUUAUGCGUUGCUUCUGCAGACGGAUUGAUAUGGUAGAGGAAUUGGAGAAGAUUGCAAACUUGAAUAUACCCAAGGAUCUCUCAAGUGAUGAAACCUACAAAUAUCUCAUAGAUGCUUGUGCGAAUUUUGAGAUCAGAUGUGCUCCACCUCUAACAACAACUAGAUUACUUGAUAAAGUAAAAUUUCUUUCAGAUAUCUUUCGGAUAGCCAAUUUUUACAUAUGCAAAGCUUAGAAAGUGACAAUGGCGGCUGCCAAUAUUUUUUUACAGUGAAAGGGUGAAAGGGGUGAAAGGGUUUAGCCUUUUAGAUAUCUUAGGAAAUUAGAAUUGCUUAGCAGAUUUAGCCUUUCAAUUUUAAGUUAAUAACAAAGUGACGUCAUUUAAAGAAAGGGAUGGGUCAAGUCACGUUUUAACAUAAAAUCGUUACUGUCAGUAACGUUUAUUAAGUUAACGGCGUUAAUUUUUUUUUAAAUCAAAUAAAGCCUAAAAUGUUACCAUAAAGUACGUUUAUACUAUUUUUGUAAAAAAAUUAAAAACGUAUUAAUUAUGUAAAUUGAUUUUUAAAAUAACUUAUUUUGGUCAAAAUAUCUCAAACCACAUAUCAAACUUCUAAAAUAAACAAUAUUUUUCAUUUCAGAACCAUCAUCAUGACACAACUUCUCAUAAAUGUUCAUUGGUGUAGAAAUAAUAUUACAAUUUUUCAUGUUGAACUUUUUCAAAACAUAUGUUAAAUUUUUAUGUGUGAAAGAAAUAUACCCUCAACUCAUUGUUUCACCUCAAGAUCAAGAAAAUCUUCAUCAUGCAGUAUUUAAAUUUAGUGAUGAGAAUCACUCAAACCCAUAUAUAUUAUAUCGUCAACUAAAUACAUACAACCAGCAAAUCAUUCUUAUCUUCUCUUUCUCUCUCUAUAUUUAGAGAAAGAGAGUAGGUUCAUUGUUGAUCCUUUUAAAGCUGCUCUCCUAGAAAUAAAAAUCUAUUCCGAAGUAUCACGCCAACGAUGCUUGUUUUAAGCUAUAGGGUGUCUUUUUAAUCUGUAAAUCUUAUUUUGUUUGUCAUUCACUAUAAACCUUCAAUUUUUAGACAUAAGCUUUUCAUUCCAAUCACCAUUUAGAAAAGGGGAUUUAACAUCAAACUGGUACACUGUUUAAUUUAAUUUUGUAUUCAAAAUUAAGAAAGUUCUCAUUGAUUCAAAGUGGGAUAAUGCCAAAGUACCCCUCAACCUAUGCACAAAAUCCCAGAGACACACUUAUUAUAUACUAAGGUCCUAUUAACCCCUUGAACUUAUUUUAUAAGUAGUUUUCUACCCCAUUUCAGCCUACGUGGGUCAACCAUCAUUGGGCCCACAAGAUAGUGUCACGUAGGCCAAAAAGGGGAAGAAAAUUAUUUUAAAAAUAAGUUCAGGGGGUAAUAGGACCUUAGUAUAGUAUAAGUGUGUCUUUGAGAUUUCAAGCAUAGGUUGAGGGGUACUUGUGCAUUAUCCCAUUCAAAGCAAACAAAUUUUUGAAUAAUUCCAUAAUCGUUUUCAGAAAUGCAUAAUACUGACUUCAUCUCAAAAAUCUGAAUAUAGCCCUAAUAUCAUACCCGACAACACAUGGUUAAGACUUAACAGCACAAAAUCAUAAAAAAAUAGCAUUGGAUCAUACCAAAACACGUUCAUCAUACCUAAUCUCUGUUAUCGUACCAAAACAAUCUUUUUCCAAUGGUUUUCGAUUAAUUUUGACUGUCCUAAAAUUGGGGUUUUCCUGUGAUCACUAUUUAUAUUAUUUAAUUACCAUUCUUACCACGAUAAAUCCAUGCACAAUUCUUAACACAAAAAUAUUCAGUUAAUCACAUAGCAAUUUAUCACCAACCCAUGGCAUAUAAUCAAGUUAUGAAUUUAUCAGAAUUACAAAAGUCCAGACAAUCAUAUGCACAUAAUUUCAGUCAUUCUGUCAAUACCAUGCAAUUAGAAUCAUCAAGCUUUAUCAAUAAUUUUACAAGUUCUUUACAUUAUGUUUGCAUCAUGAAUUAUCACUUAACUAAUCGUUCGUCAAUGCAUUUAAGUGACCUUUAAGGUCAGUUACUAACUUCUAUUACUUGUGUCCCUUCAGCCGCAACAAUGACAUUAAUUUUACUUUGUUGAGACACCAAUUGGAAUUUAGAGAUACCAAAUAAAUUCAACUCAUAUCACAAGCGACAGACCACACGAAAGGAGUGAAGAAAUGAGACAUCUUAUUAGAAUAAUUCCUAGUGUUCUGAAAAUUAAAUGUGGAUGUCAACACAACAAUCCUCGGGACUUUAUUCGAUAUUUUCUCUUGUAUCAUGAUAUUGGUAACCUAAACUCUAAUACCAAAUCGUUCCGACUCAACCUAUUAGGUUGCAUGGGGACCUACGCUAACACCUAGAUAAGAGAACCGUUAACCACCGACCUGGGAUAUUAAUCGCAGAAGUGAGGAAUUAUAAGCUAAUACCCUAUAUAUAAAUAAAAGUACUUUUUAAUCUAAAGUGAAGUCCUUCUGUAAACAAAUACAUUGAACCCUCCCAAAGAACUAGUUUUAAAAGGUACAAAAACUUCUAAGGGAGAAUAAAAUUAUGAAAUAAAUAUGACACAACUCUCACCAUAAAGAAAGAGAAGUAGAAGUUUUUGGAGAUCAUAUUCAUCUUUACCUAAGAAACAUCAUUAAUCCUGCAAUAGGCUUAUACCAAGUGACAAACAAUAUGUACUGGUAGGCAUCAUCACUUUGUUAGAAAGCAUAUAUGCACAUCAGAAGCAUACCGGAAUCUUUACUUCUUACAUGAAUAAUAGAUAACAAAUAUUGUUUAUGCUAAAACACAUAAGCUUGCUAAAAUUUAAUUCGAUAAAUACAUCUUGAAGUGCGAGUAUAUACCUUCAAAUAAAUUCUAAGUUAGACAGAUCUUCAAGUGAAUCCACAAGAUAGACAACAACUAUGGUCUUCUACAAAGAUCUCAAGUUCACAUCCGAACUCUCUCAAUAUUUGGGUGGGCAAGUAUCGAGUAGAAAACUAAACAAUCUUCUAUGGUUAAAUAAUCUUUAUUAUACAGCUAUAUUCCCAAUCCAAAGAGGAGAACCAAAAUACACGUUAUUUUUAUUUCUAAAAAAAAUACAUGCUAGUUUUCUUUUUAUAAGAAAACUCACGUUUGUCUCCCCUUUUUCCUUUAGCAAUAGGAUUCUGAGUUUUAAUUAAAUAUGUGCACUAUAAUGUCACGUCCUGCUAAUUCUUAGUAAGAUGUUGCAUCCGGAUAGGGGCGGAAAAGUCUAGAUUUAUGGAGAGGUUUAUAGAAAACUCUAGAAGCCCUUAAAUAUUUUAAGAAGACUUUGGAGAGCUCCAAAAGAAGGACUAGAUACUUUCUAGGAAAGCAUUAGAAUUUCCUAGAAAGUGUAGAGAUUUCUAAAGAAGGGACCAAAGUGUAAAUAUAUAGGAAUUUGUAAAGUAAUUUUAGAUUACACUUUAGCCUCUAGGUGUUAUUAUGAAUAGAGGUGUCACUCAUUUGUAAAUCAUCCAUCCUAGUUGUAAGAAAUCUUCCAAGUAGUAAAAGUCUUCUUCCAAAGUUCACAAAUCUUUGUAAGUCUUCCUUUCAUUCUCUUAUCGGUCUUAGUCCUAAAGGCUUACUUGAGCUUACAAGAUCAUGAAAGAUUUGUGAGUAAGUUUUCAAGUGUCGCACAGAAUAUUCGUUAGAACUCUAGUUCCGUGACAAUAUGGUAUCAGAGCAAAGGUUUGUACUAAGGGAAUGGCUAACGAAGGAGACGUAAAUGCCUCUAGCACCACCAACCUCCGUCCGAUGGAGGAAAAGAGAACCACAAGGGAAAGAAGCACCAAAGAAGUAGUGAGGAAAUGUUGCUCGACCCUCCACCAAGCGAGGCACUAACAUCUCACCCACCUUCGAGCACCGAAGCAAGUGACGAUAACCGUGGCGAGAAACCCAUUAAUGUCACACCUGGAGAGAAGUGGAUCACAAGGGUUGAAACGGUGAAGCAGGCCGUGGAUAUAGUAGCCAGAUUUUGAACGUAGCUGGUAGCAAGUUCAAGAAUCUCGAGGAUUUCACCCUUGAGGAGACCGAGAACCUAUGCAAGAUUUUGGAGGGACGCCAGCAUGCGGAGUUUGAGAUGAAGGAGGCUAUCACUUCCUUGGAGUGCCAACUCAUGGAGGCAUGAGGCAUUAAGCACGAUUGAGACCAUGAAGGCCGAGAUCAAAAGCACUCAAGGAGGGCGUAGAAGUUGGAGGAUCAUCGUCGCUUGACCGAGAUCAUGAUACCAAGGUCGAUGCUCCCAAGCCACCUAUGUUCAAAGGUGUUUGUGACGUGCAAGAGGUGGAGAAUUUCUUGUGGCACUUGGAGAAUUACUUCAAGUGUAGUCUGCUGAAGAGCGACGAGAACAGAUCAACACUGUCGUGUUGUAUCAUUUGGAGAUGGUCAUGUUGUGUUGGAGACGUAAUGAGUCGGAAAUAGGGAAGGGAGUUUUCACCAUCAACACUUGGGAGCAAUUCCAAAUGGAGUUCAAGAAUGCAGUCUUCCCUAAUAAUGUCAUCUAUGAGGCGAAGCACAAGUUAAGGGAGUUGAACAAAUGGGAAACAUACGUGCAUACGUGAAGGAGUUCAUUAACCUCACACUUCAAAUUCCUAACUUCACGGAUGAAGAUAUGUUGUUACAUUUCAUAGAUGGGUUGCAAAAUUUGGCAAGGACGGAGUUAGAACGCUGACAGGUCAGGACUAUAGAUGAAGCCAUCACAAAACUCGAAGCUUUGACAUACUUUAGGCAUGAGAAACCUGACAGAGUGGGGGGAGAAGAGAGGAGAGGUAGUCAUGACCAUGGUGGGAGAGAUUAUGGUAAAGUUAAAGAGCAGUGUACACAUUCCAAAAAGCAUAAUAUAUAGGUCUGUGGCGAGAAGUUUGGACAUCAAAGUGAUGUCGAGGAAAAGGCUGAGCCUACAAAGAGGAAGGGUUGCUAUAGAUGCAGUGGGUUGCAUGGAUAUGCAAAGUGUCAUGAAUUGAAGAGACUUUGUGCUAUCGUGUGAGAGAUGAAGGGAAGGAUGCACAAGAGCAAGGACAAGGUGUAGAUACGAUGCAAUUGGGUUUGGUAGGACUAUGCGGAGCUAUCGCCAAGAAACAAGAAAGCCGAGAGAAUACGGCUUGCAGUAUGUCGACAUCACGAUCAAUGGAAAAUUUGCUCGUGUUAUGGUCGACACAUGUGCAGAGGCCAAUAUUAUGACCGAAACGGCAACGACAAUGUUAGGACUGAAUUACAAUCCAAGUUACGCCCAACUCAGGACGGUCAACGCACCAUCGACUCCCGUGAAUGGAGUUCGCAUGAAGUAAGCAUCAUGCUAGGCGAGUGACAAGGUAAGACCAACUUCAUUGUCAUUCCUUUAGAUAUCUUUGAGAUAAUUCUUGCGCAAGAAUUCUUCCAGCAAUGUCACGCGGUGAUCGAUUUGUACCUCCAUCAACUCUUGGUCAUGGAGAAAGGAGGAUCAUGCAUGGUGCCCCUGGUUAAGGUACCCAAUGCAUCUCAAAAAAAAACUAAGAAGGAGAAGUCGACAUUUGUAGCCACUGUUGCAAGUUCGAAAGAAAAUAAUGGAACUAAAGGGUCCUUACCACCGUACACAAAGAAGGUUAAAGAGAAAAAAACAAGGUUGUGAUGCCAAAGGGGCCGCUGAGGCGCUUUCCUCCUAGGAAGGAGGUAGAUCAUAAGAACGAGUUGGAUAUAAGUAGGCCGCUGAGGAAGUUUCACAAGGGCAUCGAUCGAGUCAACAGAUUAUUGGUUGUGCAUGCACAAGAUUCGGAUGCCUAUGUAGCGGCCAUGCGACGCGGUCGUCGCAUCAAUAGGUGGGGGAGAGUGUCACGUCCCGUCAAUUCUUAGUAAGAUUUAGUAUCUGGAUAGGGGGAAAAUCUAGAGUUUUGGAGUGGUUUAUAGAAAACUUUAGAAGCCCCUAAAUGUUUCAAGAAGGCUUUGGAGAGUUCUAGAAGAAGGACUAGAUAUUUUCUAGAAAAGCCUUAGAAUUUCCUAGAAAGUGUAGAAAUUUCUAGAGAAGGGACCAAAGAGUAAAUACGUAAGGACUAAUAAAGUAAUUUUAAAUUAUACUUUAACCCCUAAUUGUUAGUAUAAAUAGAGGUGUCACUCGUUUGCAAAUCAUCCAUCCAAGUUGUAAGCAAUCUUCCAAGUAGUAAAAAGUCUUCUUCCAAAGUUCUCAAAUCUUUCUAAGUCUUCCUUUCAUUCUCUUAGUGAUUUUAGUCUUAAAGGCUUACAUAAGCUUACAAGAUCGUGAAAGAUUCGUGAGUAAGUUGUCAAGUGUCACAUUGAACAUUUGUUUUAACUCUAAGUUUGUGACAAUAGGGACCACAAAAUUAAUGCAACUUAGAGAUAAAAUUAAGACCCCGAUCCUCUCAAUUAUCGCCGCUAUUACUCCAAGUAAAAUUACCUUGUAACUCAUACGCUUUAUCAACCCACUUCCUUCCACUGCCAACUCCAUUAUUUAGACAUUUCAUCCUCAUGCGAUCAUUAUUAAACCAUUUUAUUACAUAGAGAUUCCUCGAAUAUUAGACCAUUUCAAACUCUAUCAACCAAUCGACUACUCUCCCACAAAUUUCUAUGUCAACACCGUGAUCCUUGACGAAUUUACUAAAUCAUCUGCAAGACUAUCACUAACCACUUUGACUCAACCACCACCCUAGACAUGUUUAGAAUGUAACAAUCACCUUAACAAAAUUCAUCACACUUUGUGGGUAACUCACAUCACCAAGAAUCUCUAAAAUAUCAGUACAAUUUUUAGUAUGUAAUUUUGGUUUAUACAUGAACCAUCACCCCAUCAUUUAAAUAUAAUAAUACAAUCCCUCAAGGACCAAUAUGUGACAAAUAUAACACAAUCAAUAAAUUUGGUCUACUCACAGAACAAACAUGUUAUAAUCAUGUUACAAAAAACUAAACUCGAUUCUUUCGUGAAAUUCACAUAUAAAUUGUUAGUGUACUAGGUGUGGUGCCCUUAUGAACCGUUAGUAUGUAUCAGUGUGAUACCCGAGCCAAUCAUAUAUGAAUAUUCAUGUAUCAGGCGUGGUAUAUGUGUCAACUGUUAGUGUUUAUUCUGUGUGAUACCCAAGAAAAACGUGACAUAUCAUGUACCAAUCAUGGUAUCCGAACCAACCAUCAAUCACACAUCACAAACAAAAUGAAUGGCAAGCAUAUUUUUACAUCUAAGUAAACACAUUCAUUGCAUGCGAUUGCAACUUAUAAUAUUUCAAAUCAAACACUUAUUUUUCUCUAAUUAUAUAUCAUGCAUACAAUACUAAUGAAGCAGUUGACAAGAACAUACAAAAUAAUGGAAAACAAACAACCAUCAAUUAUUCGAUUCUUUCCCGAACAUUUCCUGAUCAUAGUGUGAUUACCCAUGAUAAACUUUCUCAGGAUAAUGCCCAUUAAUCGUCAUAAUUCAUAAGAUCAACAAGAAUUAAGCAAAUAUAUCCUCAAUCUAAACCACAACUAACAACAUAUUCAACCUUUCAAAUGUCGUGCAUGGAAGCUUAUACAUGUAAUAUAUGACGAUCCACGAAAUAUGAUAUAGGUAAAGACAAGUCUAAUUACUCAACUAAAAAAACUAUUCUAUAUGGAUGUCAAGCAACCAUUGAAGACUUCAGAACACCUGACUCUAUGGGGGAGAAUCCUAGCCAACGUAGACUGAAAAUUUGUGGAUUUUAACUCUUCUUGCGUUGAAGUCUCUCUCCUUUAGUCCAUAGUUUUAGAGGUUAGAGCUGCUUAAGGUUUUCUUAGAGUAACCCUCGUCUAUUUUUAUAAUAAUGAAAAGUGAAAGAAAAAUAAAAGAAUUUGCGUUUCUAGGGUAUGAUCUCGUCAGCCCCACUAUAGAGGUCAUACAUACGCUAUAGAGGUGUCGCUAUAACAUGAGUCUUUCCGCUAUGAUGGGAUGACAUCAACCCGAAUCAAUUCAAAUUUCUAAAUUUCGUUGUGUCUCGAAGCUUUCACCUUGACUCUUUUUUUAAAAAAAAAAUUACCUCAACUCAUAUGACAUAAAAACGUCUCGACCCACGACCCACGCCCACAUUUUUUUUUUAUAUUUAUAUAUAACAUAAAUUAUUAGCAACUCUUUUUAUUAAAAAAAUAUUUUUAAAAAAAAUGGUAAGAAAAGAACUCGAAAACUAGAUUUGGCCCCAAAUAUUAUUAAAAUUUUUUUCUAGUUUUUGGGUUAUAGAAUUGUUUUUGCCAAAAACUUUUAUUUUGGACUUGGUAAAAAUUAAGUCAAUUUUUUGACAAAUCACCCCGUAGGGGAAAAACGCCAAAAAGAAGUUUGUGUUGUCUUCACCAGAAGCUCCUGGAGUUUCCCACAAUUUUCCUUCUAAUCAUUUUCUCAUGAAAACCCCAUAACCAAGACAGUGACUUUCUCUUUAUCUAUCGCCUUUUACAGUAUAUAUAAUACUCCAAAACAACAAAAUCUUGAUUCCCUAGACCCUUCUAGAAUUGUCCUUUACCAAUAUCCUUUCUCUAUAUACAUCCCUCUCUCACUUGCAGAGUUUCAACAACAACAAGAAUUGUCGAUCAUUUCAGUAUUUCACUUUCACUCACUAAACCAAAUCAAUUUUUUCAGUUCAAAAAUGGCUUCGUCAGCAACCCACCAAGUGAAAAUCCCAUUUUCCGGGCAUAAGCUGGACAACAGAACCCCAUUUUCGGGAGGGAGAAUUAGUUUUGCAUCACGGAAGAAAUGUUACAGUGACAAGGCGGUGAGGCAAAGGUUCAGACCCAUGAAAGUAGUGAACGAGAAGGUGGUGGGGAUAGAUUUGGGGACGACGAAUUCAGCGGUGGCAGUAAUGGAAGGUGGGAAACCGACAAUAGUGACAAAUGCGGAGGGGCAAAGAACGACGCCGUCUGUAGUGGCAUAUACGAAGAAUGGAGAUAGAUUAGUUGGGCAGAUAGCCAAAAGGCAAUCGGUGGUGAAUCCGGAGAACACUUUCUUCUCAGUGAAGAGGUUUAUAGGGAGGAAAAUGGCGGAGGUUGAUGAAGAGUCGAAACAAGUAUCUUAUAGAGUGAUGAAGGAUGAGAAUGGGAACGUCAAACUUGAGUGUCCUGCUAUUGGUAAACAGUUUGCUCCUGAGGAAAUUUCUGCUCAGGUAUGUAUGGCUGUCCCAUUUUAAUGGUGAAUUUAUCUCCUACUUAUAAAUUUCACUGCAAUAUUGAACUUGGAAUUAAUGGGGGUUUUCAACUUAGGAGGUAAAAUUAGGUUGAGUUCUUGCUUGAUGCUCGACUGUUUUUGGUUACUCUGUUUUCUUGAUUAUCAAGUUUGAAAUUUUGUUAUAGUGUUUGUGUUUAAGAUGACAAUUCACAAGUCUUCCUUAUUUUUUAAAAUUUUGUGUAGUCAAAAUGAAACAAACAAAUUGAAACGGACGAGUGCUAUUUCUGUACUGUUUAUGAGAAAUCAUAUCUUGGUUGUGCCACUGUGACUAACCAUACAAUUUGUGUUGUUUUGAGCUAUAACUGAUAAUGGUGCAGUCUUCCUGUAGACAACACUGAUAAUAUGAAUGGGGAAUCACUGAUGAGUUGAAGCUAGCUAUUGUGGGUUUUAUUAUCUUUCAUCUCUUAGUUAAAUUAUCUGUUAAAUUUUGAUUUGUUUAACUGAACAAUUGAAAGUUGGUAUGAUUAUUAAGCAAGUAUGGUUACUUAUUUGUGAUGGAUGGAGUUAUCAGACGUAUUCGUGUUUACCUGUUUCAAUAGUAAUUGAACCUUCAAUGAGGCAUAUUUGAAAACUAUGAUGCUCAUUUUCUUGUUAUUCAAAGGAAUUGCUUAAUUUCUGGUUCUCAGGUCUUGAGAAAGCUUGUUGAUGAUGCCUCGAAAUUCUUGAAUGAUAAAGUUGCUAAAGCAGUGGUUACAGUACCAGCAUACUUUAAUGACUCUCAGAGAACUGCUACAAAAGAUGCAGGUCGCAUUGCCGGAUUAGAUGUUCUCCGAAUAAUCAAUGAGCCCACUGCUGCUUCAUUGGCUUAUGGAUUUGAGAAGAAGAGUAAUGAAACCAUUCUAGUCUUUGACCUAGGAGGUGGUACUUUUGAUGUAUCAGGUAUGAGAAGACUAUUCGAGGCAAGAUCUGGCUUCAGUCUCAAUGCUGCCUCUGUGCUUCUUACUUAUAGUUUAGUUGAUUAUUGUUAUUAACAUAAACAUAAUAAUAAAAAGGAUUACUGCUGCAUCCUGAUCAUAUGAAUCUUGUUUUUCCAGAGUUCUCUUCCUUGGUACUGGGUUUUGGGUUGUAUUAUAAACUUGAGCAUAAUUCUAUUACCUCUGUCGUCUAUGCUGUGACAGCUGAUACAUUAAUGUUUUUACUUAUGUAUUUCAACAUAGAACAUCAACAAUAUGGAUGGAAGAAAAAGCAGUGAUAUGAAGUCUCGUGGGUAGAAUUCUAGCUUUAAAUGUGCCUUUGCAUCUACACUAACUCAUAUAUCGACUUCUAUGAUGCAGUUCUUGAGGUUGGAGAUGGAGUAUUUGAGGUACUUUCUACCUCAGGGGACACACACUUGGGAGGUGAUGAUUUUGAUAAGGUAUUAAAUCAUCAGUACCUUCUCUUUGCUUGCAUGCAUCUUGUUUAAUUUUUCCUUGUUUUGGGGCUUCUUCUGUACAAUGCUUACACUUUUUUUCUAUCAAACAGAGAAUUGUGGACUGGCUUGCUGAUACUUUUAGGAAAGAAGAAGGAAUAGAGCUUCUUAAAGACAAACAAGCGCUUCAACGUCUUACUGAAGCUGCUGAGAAGGCAAAGAUAGAAUUGUCAACCUUGACUCAAACUAAUAUCAGGUAUCUCAGUUACUAUCUGGUUCUUUCUCCUUUGCUACCCCUUUCCUUCUGGAAAAAAUGGAGGGUGAAACUGCUGCUUUUGCUAUAACAAGCUUUAAUUGAAUGUACCUUUCCUUUUUGUGCAGUUUGCCAUUCAUCACUGCUACUGCAGAUGGUCCGAAACAUAUUGACACAACAUUUACAAGGGCCAAGUUUGAGGAGUUAUGCUCAGACUUAUUGGACAGGUACCAAUUUUGUUCACAAAAAAAUUACUUGUUUAGUAUGGGGGUGUCGAUAUGAAAAUAUUGGUUUCAGCUGUGCUAUAGCUUAGAUUUUGAGAUGAUCUUGCUUCUGUAAACCGAUGUAAUCAUCUUGUUCCGAAAGAUUUCGCUGUUUGUCCUUCUGACUUGAUGACUCCGAUUGAAUUUGUCUUAACAGGCUUAAGACACCAGUUGAAACUGCCUUGAAGGAUGCCAGCCUUUCCUUCAAAGAUAUUGAUGAAGUAGUUCUUGUUGGUGGAUCAACACGAAUACCGGCUGUUCAAAACCUUGUCCGCAAGAUGACUGGUAAAGAGCCUAAUGUUUCUGUCAAUCCUGAUGAAGUGGUUGCUCUUGGAGCUUCAGUUCAGGUUUGUGUCUUUCACCUCUCUAUCUCUUCAAAUCAUCUUUUGUCUUAAGAUUUCGUGCAGUAAUUAUACUGGUGCAAUAUUGUGAUCCGGUUACGUUAUUCUCCUUUAUAUUCUCAGGCUGGUAUCUUGGCUGGAGAUGUUAGUGACAUCGUGUUAUUAGAUGUAACUCCACUGUCACUUGGUCUGGAAACUCUGGGUGGAGUCAUGACCAAAAUUAUCCCAAGAAAUACAACACUACCAACUUCAAAAUCAGAAGUUUUUUCAACUGCAGCAGAUGGGCAAACUAGUGUUGAGAUUAAUGUGCUGCAAGGUGAAAGAGAGUUUGUAAAAGAUAACAAGUCUAUUGGAAGGUUCCGCCUGGAUGGAAUCCCUCCAGCUCCCAGGGGUGUUCCCCAGAUUGAAGUGAAGUUCGACAUUGACACCAACGGUAUUCUUUCUGUCACGGCUACUGAUAAGGGUACAGGAAAGAAGCAGGACAUUACUAUAACUGGUGCUAGCACUUUGCCCAAAGAUGAGGUACACUCGUUAGAUCUGUUGUUUCCCUUGCUGAAUAGAGGAUGUUCUUUUAAGAUCGGUGUUUUAUCAACUUACAUCCGCUGAUCUUUCCUUGCGUCCUAUCAAGUAUUGCACAAUUGUUCAAGUGGAUUUAAGUUGCAUGUUACGGACUGUGAAAUAUUAAUCCCGGAUGUAUUUGUAUUUAAUCCUAUGAUACAUUUCUCACUGAUGUUACUUUCAAUGAAAUGGAAUUUCAGGUUGAUAGAAUGGUUCAAGAAGCUGAGAAGUUUGCUAGAGAGGACAAGGAGAAGAGAGAAGCCAUAGACGCGAAGAAUCAAGCAGAAUCUGUCGUAUACCAAACCGAGAAGCAGCUUAAAGAGUUGGGAGAUAAGGUGCCUGCUGACGUAAAAAACAAAGUGGAAUCCAAACUGAAAGAGCUCAAGGAUGCCAUUUCCGGUGAUUCUACUCAAACCAUUAAGGUCGCGAUGGCUGCAUUGAACCAAGAAGUAAUGCAGCUGGGACAGUCUCUGUACAGCCAGCCAGGUCCUGCCGGUUCUGGUCCUUCUCCUGGUGCUGGUACAACUGGAUCAUCUGGUUCCACCGGUAAAGAUGAUGGAGAUGGAGAAGUUAUCGAUGCAGACUUCAGCGAAAGCAAUUAAGAAUCCAUCGAUGUAUCAAAUUUCUUUUAGCAAAACAACACCCAUGGUAAAUAUUUCGUGUAAAUUUGGGAGGAUUGUAUGUGUGGCUAGUUUACUGCAAGUGUAACGAAGUUGAAGAAUAGCUUUUUCAAACCAAUCUUGUCUACAGAAGUACAGUUAUGCUCUAAAAUCUCUGAGUAAUUGCGAAAUCAAUUGCUCUGUAACUAAACUUAUUUCAAUAAUUGAAGCAAGAUUUUCCAUUAUUGAUUCUGAAACUGUAAAAUUUCAUUCAUCUGAUCAUAGCUCAUUGUGUAAAUAUAUAUUAUAAUAAGUAAGAAGAAGAGUGUGAACAGUUCUUCCCAAGUAGGAAACUGGUCACACAUUCACAAUCAUUUUACACUUGAAACAGAUAUGAAGACAUUAAAGAUUUUAAAACAGAGGGGUUAACAAAAUAAAAGUCAUGAAAAGCAACACUAAUUCAUCUAAAUCGAAGCAAUUUGAUGCAAGCUCUUAGAAUCUUGUUCCCUUUCUCCUUGUGAGCAUUAAAAUUCUCUGUUUUUUCAUGAGGAUUAUCAUUUUGAUGAUGAAUUCUGCAAUAUCCUCCUCUACCUCCUGCAGACGAAGACGAAACUGAAGAUGAUCUCUUCAUGGGAACACUACUUCUCUCUUUCUCCGUCAUGGAUUUAUAUGAUGAAACAGAGCGACUUCUUUCUAAGAUAACUCCAAACAUCUCUCCAUCCCCUUCUUCCCCAUUUAUAAUGGUCUCAUGAUUUUUGUUGCUUUUUUCUUCAUGCGGUUUAGAUAUUAUUUGUGGGGUUUCAGAUAUUGAAAGAGAAAGAUGAUCAGAAAAAUCUAUAGCUACUGAUUUUCUGUUGCUUUUGGCUUUACUGUUGAUUCUUGAAUAUCUAUUCAUCUUUCUUUUUUCUUUUUUGUUUUCUGCAGAAAUGGUAGUGUUACUUUUUGCAGUGUGAAUGUGGGGUUUAAAAUAGCAGUUAGAAAAAAGAAUUGUGUGUUGAAGUUGUCAAAAGGAAUUACUAAGAGGUAAGUCAAUGAUUGGGCAAAGAUGUGUGAUUGUGAUGGGUAGAUUACUCGUUUUAAUUUGUUUGUAUGAUUUUAAUGUGACAUAAAAUUAUUUUUUUAAAAAAAAUAUAUUGAAUAUUAUAAAAUGUUCUUUAAUUUUGUAAUGUUAAGCAUGUUAAUUAUCAUGUGAAAAUUAAAAGUUGAAAUAUAUUUUUAAACAAAUUAAAACGAAAACAUAAAUUUUUUGAGCUUAAUUAGGAGGGAUAUUAUGAGUUCCCUUGCUCUUAGGAUAAGUUCAUAUAGCUGAGGGUAGGUACUGAAUUAUUCGAUUUGAAUAUAUAUUGAUCGUGUUUUUUGGUUUUACAAAAGUAGUACAAUUUACUUUGAAUUAGAAUAAGUUUUCGGUUUGGUUCUUUUUUGUUAUUUAAAUAUAAUUAUUCAAUUAUGCUAACUAUUUUAGGACAUAACCAAAUAAUUAUAUCACACAUAGAGGAUUAGGUGUGCAAGGCUCCAUCAUAUAAAUUGAGCACACAUUUGGUAUGUCAGGUGAAAGUAACGUAUGAUGAAAUCAUUCUUAUGAUUGGUUAGAAUUUGAUUAGGAUAAAUAAUGUAUUAAAGUUCUUUUAUAUUUUAUUCACCUAUUUACUAUGUUUGUUUUUGUUGCUCUUAUAUUUUAUUGAGUCGUGAAUCAAAAUAAGCCACAAAAAUAUAAAAGUAAUCAAAAUAAGUCACUAUUUUAUUAAGUAACUAAAAUAAGCUUAAUGGAAGAAAAAGUUCACUAUAUCCAAUAAUUUAAACGUUUUCCAUUAGUUUCAUAACGUUUAUUUUUAAUAUAUAACGGAACUUUUUCUUAUACUUUAUAAAGUGGAGUUUUUUCUUCCACUUUAUAAAGUGGAACUUUUAUUCCAUUUUAUAAAGUGGAACUUUUUAUUACACUUUAUAAGAAGAAUAUUUUUCACGUCUUGAAGAAGUUUUUUCAGUGUUGUCAUAUAAAUUAUAUUGAUUUGAUAUGUCAUUAAAACGAAAAAAAAUAUUUCAUUAUGUAUUUUUAUUAUUUUAUUCUGAAAAAUCUAUUUAAGGACGUUUAUGCAUAGUUGAUAGCACCUACAACAUAAAGUCUUCUAUAUUUGUUCAUUUCAAUCUAAAAAAAAUAUCUUCUACACGUAAAGUUAAAGUUUCAGUUUAUUGGGAUGGCGAAAUUAUACAUGACGGAAAUAUCAUUUAUUAUAAUUGUCCUCCCAAACACAAUGCUAAAUAUCCAAUAAAUGUCUGAUAUCAUAAAUUUAUUUUAUCAAUUUAUAAAAGAAUGGGUAUAAACAGUACGAUUAUAAUUUGAUUAUAGCCGGAAAAUACCCUACUUCAUUUUUAUCACAAGGACAAGUAAAUUUUAGAGAGUGAAUUAUAUAUAAUGACGAAUCGUUGACCGACUUUUUAAGGGUUCCAAAUGACUGUAUAGAUCAAAUCAAGUCAACAAUACUUGGAAUAUCUGUUAGGAAGGAGCCUAAGAUUAGUCAACAAUGUUCUCCUUUAUCGGUCGAUGUUCAUCCCUAAUUAGAAAAUCAUAAUAGCAUUGAUGGAUUUUCGAUAACUCAAUUUACUGAUUUUCCAAAAAUGACUCAUUAUCAAAAUACUCUUACCGGCCGAUAUGAUUUUGAUUUAAACAAAACUACCAAUGAUAGUGAUCGGUAAUGCUCAAUUAAUAUAUUUCAGUUAUUGUUUGUUGAUUUUGUCAAUUAUUUAUUAAUUUAUAUUAUUUAUUAUUCUUAUUAUUAUAUAUUUUGUAGCGGUUUACCUUAGCAAGAUAGGAAUAAUGCUCCAAGUUAUGAACUAAAUAAUUAUUUUGGUCAGUCCUCACACUUAGAAAUGACGAACAAUAUUGGGACAUCCUCAAAUUUUCAUGUCUCGCCUACUUUUGAUGCAGAUGACUAUCGCUAUGUCUAACACUUAUUUUUUUUAAAUGAAUUUUUGAUGCAGAUGAUCAUCUUCAAAGUGAUUUUUUUUGGAAGCCAUGAAAAAAAAAAGGAGAGAAGGUGAAGGUGAAAAUGAAAAGGUAACUUUUUAUAAAGCGGAAGAUUUUCUUUCACUUUAUAAAGUGGAAUAAAAAGUUCCACUUUAUAAAGUGGAAGAAAAAGUUCCUUUAUAUAUUAAAAUAAAUGUUAUGACAGUAACGGAAACGUUUAGAAAAUUGGAUAUAGUGGAACUUUUUCUUCCACUAAGCUUAUUUUAGUUACUUACUAAAAUGGUGGCUUAUUUUAGUUACUUUUAUAUUUUUGUGACUUAUUUUUGUUCCCAAUUCUAUUUUAUUCACCUAUUUACUAUGUUUGUUUUUGUUGCUCUUAUAAGGUGCAAAGGCGGACCUAUGGCGAAGGGUAUGGGUGUGAGACACUCGUUAACUUUGGAAAAAUUAUGUAUAUAUCUCUUGAGAUAUAAAUAUAUAUUUUUUCAUUGUUUUUAAAUAUAAAAAUGUGGAUAAAGACAGUUACAUGAUUUUGAAUGAUCUCAUGGUGCAAAGUAGAGUUGAAUACCACAACUCCACCCAGCAAACAUUGCGAUCAAAGUCGUCUUGUUAGUAGAGUAAUAUUUUUAUAAAUACCUUAAAUAUUUCUAUGUUUGAUAAAAUUAUCGCACAAAAUGGUAUUUCGUGACACUUUAACUAAUGUGAUUAGUCAUUCAUGAUGUACUUAUCUAUCUUCAAAUUUUAAGUUCUCCUUUGGUUGAGUUGUAUUAGCAACAUGAUGUACUUGAUAAUAGGAACAACAUGGUGGACUUACUAAUUGGAAAACAUGGAAAUUCUUUUUCCAAAAUAUACAAAAUUGAAUUGUGUAUAAACCUUACUUUUUAGAAAUUCUAUUUUUGUAGAGUAAAGUUGUAGGAUUAUUGUGGACUUACCCUAUGCAAGUGUUCUAUACUACUUCAAGGUGUACACAUUUGUAUUUUACACACACAUGGACUUUCUUCUCCUUAUGCACCAAAUUCUUGAAUUUCUAUUUUGACAAUUUAAAAGAAAAGGACUAUACAUAAUAUUAUGUCAUAUCAUUUAAUAUUUCCUCAAUAGUCAGAUAACCUAUAACUUUAUCGUGAUUUUGAAUUCUAAAAAAGAAAAACUUGAAUUAAUUGAGAAUAUUUUAACAUAUAAUAAAAAUCUGAAUUAAUUGAACAAGUAAAUUUUUUAUAUCAUAUUAUUAUUACCAUAUAAUUAUUUAAAAAAUAUCUUUUAGGUAGGUUGAUUUGGAUAGUGCAUUUCAACUAAUUAUUAAUUGAGUGAAAGUUUGUCUUUUGGUGUAUGAUGUAUAUAUGUAUGUGAUAAAAUAAGUAAAAGAAGUCAACAAAUUUAAAGAGAGUUCUCCACCAAGAGUCUUCAUGAAAUUAAUUUUAUGCCAAAAGAUGGAGUAAUUUUCAAUGGAUAAUAAAUUGAGAAAAAGGACAAAAGAGAACAAACAAAGGUAUUAUUAAACAAAUUAACUUAUUUAAGAAGGCAAAAGGACAGCCAAUGGUCUGGAAAUUACUCAUAUUAUGGUACUAUAGUUAUGUGGUACAAAGGGAUUUCCUUUUGUCCAUGUUAUAUGUUUCUUAGGAUCCCUUUCUCUAUUCAAAUUUAUUUUAUUUUUUUUGUAAAAAAUAAAAAAGUUCAUGGUUAUAUAUGGGCGGAACGACAUGAGAAAUCAUUAUACUUGGUGGUUUUGUUAGUUAGUUAGAUCUGCUUAAUUAUUAUUUUUUCAAAUAAACACUUACAUUCGAUAAAACACUAUUUUAACCUGUUUUUCUUGAAAAUUCUUUUCAAUACUCAAAAAUUCAAGCUAAAUGCACAUUUAAAUAUAAUUCAAUUUUCAAAUAUACUCUUUCAACUUUCACACAGAUGACACUAAUGGGUAGUUGUAGUGAUUUUGUCUUGAGAAAUUCCACCACCAAGAGUUUCCACUUGAGGUCAAUUAUGGAUAGUGGUAGUAAAUUUUAUAUUAUUAUUUUUUUUUCCAAAAAGUCCAAUUGAUGCCAAAAUGGGUAGUUAUGAUUUCAAAAAAGUUUCAUUGAUAGAUACUGACAUUGAAAAACUGACACAAAACAAAAAAGAGAGUCAGUUAAUUAGAUGGCAAGACAACACCAAGUAGUAUUUUAGGUGACUAAUGGCAAGACAACACCAAUUAGUAUUUUAGGUCACUAAUCGGUUCGGGCAGAGCUAGAAUUUUUAAUUUAAAAUUUUUAAAUUAUUUACCUUCUUUUUAUUGGAGUUUUUAAUAUUAUAUUUAUACAUAUCAAAUAAGUUUUUAUACGAGAUAAAUAUAAAAUUUAAAUUAAUUAUUAAAUUGUAUGGUGUAAAGCCAACCCCACCCUUGUGGUGCUAAGUGUUCUAAAAAUUUUAAUGUUCCUUAUGAGUUAGAUGUGGCCAAUGUGUUAGUUCUUUGUGGGGAACUUACGUUUUAUAUUUGGACAAAAACCAGGGUGUUCCAGCCUUUUUGUCUAUGACAGAAUGGUAGCGAUUUUUAUCAUUCGAUGUUUGGUAUCUACAUUGGAGCUUGAUUAAAUAUAAAUUUGUAUAUGAAAGUUUCACAUUGUUAGAUAAACGCUCCCUAGAAAAGGUGUUUUUCUAUCAAGAAAGUUCGAAUCCAAAACCUUUUGAUUAAGAAUGAAAAAAUACUUACUACUUUAUCACAACCUUUAUUGGUAAUGAUAUGGAUUUUUGGUUGUGAGAAAAUAGGACGAACAUUUUGAUGUACCAUCGAACUUUCAUUAUGUUCCGGCUUGAAGAAGGGUCAAAUUAUAUGAGUCUAUUAAAUUAUACUGAAUUCAAGAUAUUAAUUAACAUAAUAUAAAUUAUUUAUUUUUAUUUAUAAUAUUAAGUUGUUAAUUAAUUAUAAAUAUGGCAACUUCACAAAUGCAUAGUCAUACAUGUUUCUAUAUCUAGUUUUAUUUAUUUAUUUAUUUAGGGCUCGUUUGAUCAUAAUAUUAAAUCAUGAGAUGAAAUUAGAGUUUUGUUUGGACAUGCGAUAUGGAAUUUUGGUGUUAUAUAUUUUCUCAUAACAUAAAAAUCUCACAAGUUCUAGAACAAUUAAAAUAGCCCCAAUUGUUUAUUCAAUAUUAUCAAAUAAAUAAAAAAUAAUAAAAUCGUAUAAUAAAUUAUUACAAAGUUAUUUGUUCUCGACUUAAGUAAAGUAAAAAUGAAACACUUUUCACGGGCUCUUCAAAAUUUUAUUACUCAACAAUCGUGAAGUGUGAGUUAAAAUGACUAUAUGUUGAUCACGAGAAUAAUAAAUUUAAAAAAAUAAUGAUGUGAUUACAAACUUACCUGUGAAAUAAAUGGUUAGUGAUAUAAAUGUGGGUUGUUUUAACAAAAUAUGAACUUGUAGAUCAAUUUUUUUAUUAAAAUAACUCAAAUCAUGAUAUGGUAUUCCCAUAUGAUUCCAUAUCAUGGUUUUUAGAGAAUAUGGUAUCAAAUCUCAUGAUAUGGAAUCAUGAGAUGAUAUCAGGGUAAAAUCGCAUGUCCAAACGCUGAUUUCAUCUCAUGAUACUAUAUCGUGAUAUGAUAUCACAUUACCAAACGCCUACUUAGUGUGCUAAUUUUGUAGAAGUCAUAAUUAAUUUUAUUUACUUUUUAAAAUUCCAAUCACAAUAAUAUUAUUUUCUCUUUUUUAUUUCCCUUUUUUUUUAAAAAGAGGCCAUUUAAUUGAUUUUCAUCAAUUUUAAGGUAGAGGAAGAUAUUCAUAUUGCCUCAAUAGAUCACACUUUUUAUAUUUUGAGAAUCAAAUAAUUUAACUUCGAUUAGAAAUUUGCGUAUGAAAUUUUUAAUUUUUUUGAAAUAAAAUUUAUAUGUUCAUAAACUAUGUAAAAAGUACUAUGAGCCACAAUAAUUGAUAUUUCAAAAUAUUUUAAAAGAUCUAUGAAAAUUUAUAAUUAAAACUAAACUUGUUUAAUUUUUGAAAUCUAAAAGAUGACAUAUAAAAUGGGACGAUAAUACCAUAUUUUCUCGGUAAUACCCUUUGGUUUGCUUGUUUUCAUUCUUCUUUUUCAAAUUUCAAUGAGAAAAAGGUUAUACUUCUGUAUUUGUUAAGAAUACGGUAUAUAUAGGAAAAAUGUUUUUGGCCAGAAAGAUAUUUAUCUAUAAUAUUUUAUUCUUUUGAAUAAUUUUAUAUUUUUAAUUUUUAUAUCUUUUAAUUAAAAAAUGGAAAAAUAUCAGUUAUUUUUAAAAAUUUAUAAAAAAGAAUUAUAAUUUUUUUAAUUUUCUAAUCUGAUCAAAUUUUCUGAUCAUUUAACGCUUUUCAAAAAAUAUUUAUAGAAUAAAUAUUAGUGUAUCAUAUGCAUUAACAUUAGGAUGAUAUAUAUGGUCUUAUUUAAACCACAACGAAUAUCUUCUACUAUACAACAACACAAUUCAAUAAUAACGAAUUUUUAAUAAUGGUAAAAAUGACACUAUUCACGAAUAAUAUUGGAAAAGUUAUUUAUUAAAAAUAUUUGAAAAGAGCAUUCAAUAACAAUGUGGGCGGUUGCGUUGAAUUUCAAUCUUAGAAAUCUAUACACACUCCUAUGACAUUGUUCUAUAAAUAUAUAGACACGAAUGAACUUACAACAAUGCAUAAUACCAUGAUAUAAAUACGGGCUAGCCCACUUUAUCGGGGCUAAUUUAUACAGGUUUUAAUAUUUUACGGGUCAGAUCAGAUUAGUUUAUUUUUUAUGUGGGUGAGAAAACGAUCGGUCCAACCGACAAGUACGUGGGUCACAAGCUUGUCGAGUCAGUUCAUUUUUUUUAAAAUUAUAUUCUUUUUAAUUAUUAAAUUAAAUUAUAAUUUAUAAUUUUAAAAUAUUAUCAUAAAUAUCGACAAAAUAUUAUUACGUGAGGUUAAUGUUACUACUUGUUAACCAAGUUCACAAAUAAAAUUAUCUUUAUAAUAUUUAUUAAUUUUUUCAAGUAAAAGUAUAAAUAUUUAAAUAAAAAUAUUAACUUAAUUGUUUGAGUUUAGAUUCUCUUUAAUUUUAAAUUUUAAUAUUAUAUCAUAUUUUUUAAUUAAUUUUUAUUGACUCACGAACCGACCCUAUCGAUAUUUUUCAAUCCCCAUAAAUCAACAAAUUUAUUCAGAUUGAACUAAAAAGCUUUUUUCUUAAAUUGACUCAAAAAAUCUCAGUCUACUCCAAUUAAAUUAUGGUGAGAGUGUGGUGUACACUUCAAAUAUGAUAUAUAAUGCAUGACAUAUACCAUAAUUUACACCACAAGCUAACCAAGAUAUAUCAGUUUAUUUGUUUGUUUAAAUAAUUUAAUUACACCAUGUGCAUAUGAUGAUUUAACAUUGUUAUCCUAAAGAAUAAUAAAUUAAUAAAUGACCAAUACAAAUAGUCAACUAAAUGCAUUACAGCAGCAUACAAUUAAUUUAUAUAUCAUUUUUUAAAAUUAAUUAUGUUCUGCAUGAAUAAUGUACAUUAGGGCGAAAAUAUAGUGUACGGUUCAAUCCGAUGCAAAAUAGAUUAUUUAAACCAACACUUACGCCAUGAAAUAACCAAGAAUUUACCAAAUUUACAGGUAUAAUCAAGUUGAUUUAUACAAUUCAAUUUAUAUUUGGUGAUAAUUUUGAUUUUGGUUAUAUGUGCAACUCUACCAUGUAUAAUAUCAUAAUCUACAACCAUAUUGAAUUUUCCGUUUUAACAAUUAUACAAAUAACAUUACUGUUAGAAUUCUACGUAGAAUAUGUGUGUCUAAUUAUUUAACUUUAUACAAAUAUUUAUUUAUUCACAGGCAAAAUUGAAAAGCAUAAAUAUAAACUGCGAUCAAAUUAAAGGAUCCAUUUAUGUAUUAAGUCAUCAUAGAAAGAGAGGAAAACAACCAUGUUCAAAGUGGUACAUAUGUGAACAAGAGGUUGAGGCAAUACAUCAAUUGGUUGUAGUACGAGUGUAUGUGAUCGGGUUGGUUCAGAUUUUUUUAAUGUAAAUUAAAUUAUUGUCUAAUUUUUAAAUUAAUAAACCAAACCAAACAGAAUCCGGUAUUUCAACUUCGGAUUUUUUCGGGUUUCUUCGGGGUUUUGUUUUUUUUCCGAAUUUUUGGAUUUUUUUAUAAAGUUUUCAUACAAACAUAUAAUUUACUUGUACUUCAAAUAUUUCUUUAGUCCUACCAAACUGUAACUAUCUAAGUUAUUUCUCAAGAAAACAACAAAAAAUAUAAUAUGAUUAAUGACACUAAUCCAACAAAAAAAAAUCGAGUAAAAAAAUCGUACAAAUUAAUAAGUCAUAAUGAAAUUGAUCAUUAUUUAAAAUACUAAAUCAUGCUAAAAUAAAUUUAGUAAGUAUUAGUUACAAAGACUAAAUAUUAAAAGAAAGUAAAAGUAGAUCAUGUAUUUUAAUUGUCCAAAUCUAUGAAAACUAAAAAAUAAAUAUUCAAUAUUAUUGUCAUUAUUAGUGUUAAAUUGAUUUCCUUUUUGCAUUAGUAUUAAUUUGGUUUUUAUUUAAACUUUAUAUAAUUACCAACAUGUAUGAACUAUAAUCUUUAUUAUAUCAUUAAGAAAUCUAACUUCCAAACAUGAAAUAAAUAUAUUUAAAGAUAAAAACUAUAAAAAGGUAUAAGAGAUUUUUAAAAAUUAUAUCAAAAUAAGUAUUUUAACAUAUAAAAUAAAAAUUUAAAAUUAUAUAUAUAAUGUCGGGUUGGUUUGAUUUCGGGUUGAUUUUUUUCAGUUGAAACCAAACCAACCCAAAUAUAGUCCUUUUUUUUUCAAAACCAAACCAAAUCACUAGUCAAUUUUUUUUUCGAUUUACGAUUUGGUUCGAUUUUGUACAAGUUGUAGAUAGCAAAAUUACAAGGCAGCUAUGAGAUCAAUUCAUCAAUCUCAGACUCAAAAGGUGUAUGCAAUAUUUCGAGAUGAUGGAUAAAUUAUUACAUAAAAAUCGAUCUAAGAUAUUAAUUUGAUCGAUUCGAAUAUAUAUAUAUAUAUAUAUAUAUAUAUAUAUAUAUAUAUAUAUAUAUAUAUAUUAGAAAAACGAAAUAAUAUAUAGUAGUGUUAAAAAUGGAUGAUGAUCGGGUUCACCUCUUUCCGUGAGGUUAGAAAUUCAAAUUUUGUAUAUAUAUAUAUACAAAAUUUUAGAAAAAAGAAACAAGAUUAAUACAAAAUUUGAAUUUCUAACACUACUAUAUAUUAUCUCGGUAGAGGAGCAUAGGUUCAUGUGAACCCAGUGACCCCCCCCCCCCCCCCAACCAUACGCAUCAGAGGUUCUAGCUGAACAAUGCCAAAAAGAACCUUUGGAGUUAUUGCAUGCUGGAACAAAGAUGUAAACUGCAAGACUAGCAAAGAUGAUCCUGAGGAAUCAUAGAUGUACUAGGUACCUUGUAAGAUGAUUAAGGCUUUAGGUUUUGUAGUUUACUUGCCUCUUUCGUUUUUGAUCCUCUUGUGCCCCAUCACAUUUUUUUGGGGGGUGGAUGUUGAUAGAUACACAAGAAUAUGGUACCUUCUAAAAAAAAAAUCUGACUUUGAAUGAUUAAGACUCAGACUUUUGUCUUAACAAUUAAACAAAUGAGACCUUAGUUUAUUCGAAUACUUAUGCCAGUACAGGUAUAUAUAUGAAAAUCAAAGAAACUACUUUGAGCAAUGGCAAGAAAUUAUUCUUUCAUCAUACUGAUUGGUUCAAUUGACAAUCUCUAUUCCUGUAAAAGGUUUUCCAGCAUGGAGUUGAAGAGCAACGUCUCCAACAACCUGUAAUUUAACAAUUACUCUCAUAUUACAAGUUCCAUUUCAACAUGUACAAGAAAUAAUAAACUAGCCUGAAUUGAGCAAACUGACCUUGGCCAUGUCUCUAUAAGACAAUUCUGUCACACCAGCAACAUGGGGUGUGAUUAUAACAUCUGGAAAUCUGAGGAUAGCAUCAUCGGGAUCAAAUGGUUCAGUCCAAGCAACAUCAAUUCCUAAACCUCCUAAAUGUCCCGAUUUGAGAUGACUUAAAACAGCAUCAUAAUCCAACAGACCACCUCGAGCUAUAUUAAUCAGAAUGGCACCCUGCAGCAAACAAGAGCACGCAAACUUUCAUGAGAUAUGAAAAGCCCAUCUUCAACCCACCUAUUAUAACCCUGGUAAAGUUCGGAAAGUUAGUCAACCCGCCUAUUUAUUUAUUGAACACAUUUGAACCUACAUAGCCCAUUUGACACCCUUUAUAUUCUCCACUGAUUUCCCCCAUGGAGGAAUAGAAUUUAACACGGUCCCAAACUUUCCCCUGAACCCCCUAGUUUCUGGAAGGAGAUUUCCACUUGAAGACAAACCUUUCUCAUGACAGAUAUAAAAUCGUUGUUCACGAUGCCAAUCUGCAAGUCAGCAGCAUAUUUUUAGGUAUAGGCUUGGCAAAAUACAUAGAUCAUCAGAAAGCACGAGAUGUCCUGACCAGGCAGAAAGAAAGAGCAGUCUUACAGUUUCAUUGUUCAUAGCUAAGCAACAUACAACAAUAUCAGCUUUGCUUGCAAACUUCAAGAUAUCAGCAUGGUUUCCCCUCUCGUCAACUAGGUCAGCGUAGCCACCAUUCUCAACAGACGGUGCUGGAAAGAUAGAUACGCGAUUCCUAUCAAUAUUUAGAAAUGAAUGAAUUUUACAAGGUUUUCUUACCCUCGGAUUUGCUCGAGUCCUGUGCAGGCCGGCCCCAACUUCGUUUUGUAGCAAGUAUUUUCACGUCAAAUGGGCGUAAACGCUUUGCUAAAUGUAUCCCGAUAUUUCCAAACCCCAGGAUAAAUACCUAUAUGAUAAUGCAGAAAUUUUCUAAGACAUAAUAAAAGUGCAAUUCUUACACAAGUUUGAUGGUCUGUAAAUUUGUCCAGACCUAGUCAUCAACAAUAUCCAAGCACGUCACAAUGCCAUUAAAUUCUUUUCAAUUGUGAUAUCUAUUAGAAUCAUUCCACUUGAUAUUAGCAAACUUGAAUGUGCAUUGUGCAUUUAGUCCAUUAAAAGAAUGAAGGUGAAGUUGGAAUUAGAUAGAUUAGUGGUACAUUUGCAAGCAAUUCAGAUAUAAGUCCACUCUUCCUGAGAAAAUGACAUGAUAAAUGAAGAAGUAACCCAUAAAAUCAAUAUAUGAUGAUCAAAAUGGAGGCAUAUUACAAGAGUGACAUGUAAAAGGAAGAUACCUAACAACGCACAAUGCAAGUUCUAUAUAUAGAAUGGUUGGAUGGUAUGCAGGAAUGAAUGUUGACCCUUUAAAGCCCAACAUAUCUAAGAUGUAUUCAUACCAUAGAUGUAUUCAUAAGACCUUUAAAGCCCAACAUAUCUGAAUGUUGAGACCUUUAAAGCCCAACAUAUCUAUAAGAUGUAUUCAUAAGAGGAGAUUUCAAUGGACACAUCAUAUCAACCCCGAGGGGCUAUGACGGUGUGCAUGGAAGUGUUGGUUUCAGGGACAAGAAUGAAGGAGGAGUCUCGUUUUUGGAUUUCAGCAAGAGCGCUUGGGUUAGAGGUAGUCAAUUUGAGUUUCUCAAAGGAGAAACACUUGGUAACUUUUCAUAGAACGGUGCUAAGACUCAGAUAAACUAUUUGCACCUUAGGAAGGAUGAUGAAGGUCUUUGUAAAGACUGUAGGAUUGUUCUAAGUGAGAAUCUUACAACCCAACAUAAGCUCUUGAAGAUGGAUUUGGAGAUCAAGAGGCAGGAAGAAGAGGGUUGUGGGUGACCAACCUAGGAUCAAAUGGGGUAGCUUGACUAUGGUCAGUGCCCAAGAGAUGGAGAAGUUGAUUGCUACAGAGGCUUAGGGGAGUAGUGGGGAUGCGAACAGUAUGUGGGAUAGGAGUGUUAGUUGCAUUAGGGAGGCAGCUAGAGAGGCGUUCGGGGUUCAAGAAACAGAUUUAGGUGGGCACUGAAGGAAAAAGUGAUGGAAUGAAGAAGUCAAGAAAAGGUGAAGACAAAAAUGUUCAGUGCAUCAAGCAGGGGCGGAGCUACAUGGAGCCCAGUAGCAGCCUAAUAGACACUUGUACUAGCACCGAUUUUUCAUCCCGGCCCCUCAACUCCACAAAGUUUCAUCCAAAUACAUGAACAUUCCAAACCCCUUUGACCUUACAUGUCUCUUAAUUUCCCUACCAGUGUUGUAAAAGCCAUGCUUAAGCCUUAAAGUGAGGCUCAAAACGUGUUAAGCGCUCUGUCUCACUUAAUGUCAGAUUAUAUAUUUGUACAUAUUUUUUCCCUUUGUGCCUUUUUCAUUAAAGCCCAUCUCCUUUUUCUCCAACACUACUCUGCAAAAAAUAGUCAAAAACCAUUUUCUCUCCCUCAAUUUCUGAGCAGAGACAUUGCUCCUCCCCCUCCACUACUCUCAUUUUUUUCUCUUUUGGAUAAGGAAAAACAAAUUUCCUACUCUCAUUUCUUUCUCUUCCACUCAUCUCUAUCGUAGAACACUGCCCAUCUCUACCGAUAAAGUUCUGUUAAUAAAUAAAACAACUAUUAUCUUUUUCACCAAGCACCCAAUUUGUAGAUACUUGUAUCCUAAAAAAGGAUAUGAUACCCCUAUGCAAUAAAAUGCAAAAUAGAAGAAAAGAAACGGCUACCAUAUAGGUACUUGCUCCUAGGAGUAUCCUGGAUAUUUUGUACCAGCACUGCAGCAAUUAAUCUAAGCAAUUUAAAUUAGCAUCCCCACUUCAUAAUAUUACACAAAAUGCAUACCAUUUACCUUAACAAUUAAGGUAAUUUAUUGUCAAGUAAACAUGUUUGAUGAAGCAUUUGUAGCUCAGCUAACAAAUUAGUUGAUCCUAACUACUGUAUCUUUUCCUAUUUAAUUUUAAAGCUCUAAGCACUUGAUAUUUUGCAACAAUAUAAUAAAAACCAACCAGUGGUGAAAUGAAAAAGGGAAAGAAGAUACAUCUUAGCAUUCCAAAAUGAGAUAACAGAUAAAUAGGAGGAAAUAAAAGUGAAACUCACCGUUUUCCCUUGCAGGUUGACACCAGUUGGCUCCCCUAGCUUUUUCUGCUCCACGGAAAUUUUCAUUUGAUGCUGCAACAUUUGGGGGAUGCCAAGUUAAAAAGGAAAACAACAUAGCUUACAUGAGAACAAAAAAUACUCUUAGUACACCUAUAUAUUUAGCUAUCUGCAUAUACUUUCACUUCUAGAACCACAAAGAUAGAGUAGCAACGGGACUGCCAGCAAUAGAAUUAAGCACUCAACACCCCUCUUUGUUUGACCACUCAGUCCAAAACACUCUAGAUUUCGUUGAUUCUAGGCUCUCAUGUCCACUCGAGUGAAGUCAUUCACAUUAGAAAUAUAAACAAGUUUCAAGCAGAUAAGUACUAAAACAGACUGCAAAACCAGAUGCAUUAAUUAUUCUUACAAAAUAGUGAUAUAUAUAUAUCCCAAAUCUAUCAACUUAUGAAGAAAGGAAGUACAAUAUGUUUGUCGUGUUAUCCUCUAAGAGUUCAGAAGAAAUAAAGCCAUGAAUUAUAAGAUUAGAGUCAAACCAACUUGCUUACGCAGGAGGCCCAAAAUGAGAUAUAUGGCCAUUUCAGCACAUGAAGCAGCAUUUCCAGUUGCACCACCCGGAAUUUUGGCGACCUUAAUUCCAUGCUUUGUGGCAGCAGUAAUGUCAACACCUUUAUACAACAACAUUAUAAAGUAUUUAGGCAAUUGGAAACUUUAAAACGACUGAUUAGCAAUGAAUCCAGCUACCAAAGAAAUAAUAUCAAGAUAAAGGAGAACAAAAAAACCAAAGGCCUAAGGCAAGUAGAGAAACUGAAAACAAAAUCAAUUUGACCUUCUAACCCAACUCCAAAUUGCAUUAUGAGCUUCAUCCUCUUUGCACGGGAGAGAACAUCAGAGUUCAUACGGAAGCUUUUAACCACACAAAUAUCAUAGUCACCAAUCACAGCAGGCACACUUUCGAGUGGAACAUCAUCAACCUACAACGGAGGCAUAUAUCAUCAUUCAAGAUUCGAUUAUCACUUGUAUUAGGACCCUUUUCAGAAGAUAGUGCAAGAAGGUACUGACAGAUACCACUCAAAAAAUUGAAUAGCAGAAUUAAAGAGUUUUAGCCUUUUCUAUGAGUUAAUUUUUAGCUGUACGUUAGGAAAUAACUGUGAAUAAAAUAUUGAAAUGGUAAAGAAGAUUAAGAAGUUAGAUUUAAAAAGUGCAAGUUUACAAUUAGGUAGCAUGUUUACCAUGCAAACAGUGUGCACGAGUAUAAUUAGCAGCUCUUAGUAUACUCGGUAAAGUAACAAACAGACUUCUAGACAAUUGGUUUCUCUGUUUAUGAUUUUGCUUUUAUUUUAUUUGAUAACUCAGUAGUAGUUUUAUCAGUUCAGCCUGUAGAUGUAUUAUAUUAGUAUAUACAGCCGUUACUCUAUUUGAUUUAGUGUACGUACAGUCAUUUACUAAUCAUCCCAAAAAUGAAGCCUAUAAUCUAACAAACUGACAUAUGCUUGUCACCUAAGAAAUACAAAUGAAAUAAAAAGGAAUAUUCAACCUUGAACAAACGAAUUUCAAUUCUUCCUAAGAUUCUACGAUCAUCUCUCUCCAAACUGUCCAAAUAUUAUACAGGUGAUUUGUCUAUCAUAUGUAAAUUUCAUAGCCUCCAUGCUUGGAAAAAGUCUUGUUUCUUGACCCUUUGUAUUUCCCAUUUGUCCUGUGUAGGCACUUCAAGUGAAAAACAAGGCGAUUUUUGUUUUCCCUUGAAAUGAUGGUAUAUAACAACUUCUGUUGUGACUCAAGUUUCCUUUAAUUGAUGUCAAAUGUUUCCACUCAUAUCAAAUUAAUUGUCUGCAUCUUCAACGAGUUGUAUGGAAAGAGAAUUUACUUUUUCAUUAUAGAGGAAACUCUUAAUGCAAAUUAUAACACAAAACAAUACUUCUUUUUUUAUCAGGUAAACACAAAACAAUACAUGGACCUCAGUUCUACUCUUCUUCACCAAUUUUUCGUUUUGUAUUCAGAUAUUAACAAGAUAAAGGCGGUAUACAUUUUACAUAGGCAGUACUAGAGAAUACACAUUUUUCAACUCUGUUUUUGAAUGAUAUGAAGUCAAAUAAAUAAAAUCAUCUUUGACAAGAGAAUGCAAUAACUACCCCAAAAUAAGAGCUCACUUUUCAUGUACUGUGAUUUUGCAUAUCACUUCAAACGUCUACCUCGCUCCAGAUAGCAAUAUCAAAAUUUCUUCAGAAAUCGAAAAAAAAAAACUAGGCAAACCAAAAAAGUCAGAAACCAUGUAGAAGCUUCAAUUAUGCAAUUAUUUUUAAAUCAUUCAUCAAGAUCCUCUGUUGCUUUAUGAACUUCAUCACUAUUAAAACAAGUUUAUAAAUCAACCUUCCUUUAUUUAUUUCCCUAUGGAUGCCUGAAGAACAUAUAUGGUUGAACAACUUUGAAAUGGAGCCAAAAUUAAGUCUCGUGCAAUGAAGAAAUACAGCCCUUCCUAUCUGAUAAAAAAGGAUCCCAUGAUCUUGAACCGAUCUUACCUCAGAUCACAAAUCCAAGACCGUCUAUGAAGAGCGGAUCUAAUUGAAUUAGUGUCUAUAAUCGAUUUCUUCUAUGUAAUACUAAUCGAUAGUAACUCAUUCGCAAGUGCUACAAGAACUCAUGCACUGGUCCCCGAAUCCGUUAGUAUGGAACAUAUUCUUUUCCAUGUGAAAUCCCCUAGUAUAUGAAAGCGCCAAAAAGCUCUUUCGUUUUGGUGGAAUAAGAAACAGUAAAAGAAAGAAAAUGACACCUGAACAAAUGGAUAGCCUUGCAAAUAUUCUCUUGUAUAAUUGUGAGAAUCAGGAAAAUGAGGCCCACAAAAAAGAACACGGGUAACAUGAUUGCACCUAUUAUCACUCAUCUUCUGAGAUGAGUUUGCACCUAAAUGAACAAGAAAAUGCAAAUAUAGACAUCAGCAUAUACCCUUAUUACACCUGACAGUGAGUAAUAUACAUAUUGUUAGAGAAAACACAUUAUCAUCAUGACCACAUAUUGUAAAAAUCCACCUCUCCCAGCACUAGGUGGGAUGUGGACAAAGAGGAGAGGGUAAAAUUCCCUUCAAAUCAUGUAAUGGUAUAUGAGCAGGGGCCGAACCAUGUUGAGCGAGGCGUGUCACUAGACACCGCUUUGACAGAAAAUUUUAUAUGCAUUAACAUUAGAUAUAAAUUGAUAUAUUUAAUGAAAUGACUCUGCUUGACAAUGGAUGUCUCUUCGAGUUCGAACCUCAACCUAAGCAGAGCUGGAGCCAGUAUUAGGAGUUUGAGAGUUUUAAAUUUCCUUCCCCUUCCAUACUAUUCAGCUAUCAACCAAUUUCGACAGAGGUUCACAAGUUAUUACUUAAUUUUCUCAUACAAAUAUAAGGUCUACGAAAGAACUUCUGGAUUCGUCCUAAUCCAUGAACCUCUACCGAGCUCCGCCCCUGAACCUAAGCAUAGUUUGGGGAAAUAUAAAAUCUAUUGCUUAAAAUUAUGGUUAAGUAACAUUGAACCUUAGAUAUCUUCUAGCUUAACACCAAACUAAACCAAUGAGUCAACUAUAUGUCUUACUUGUAUAUAUAAUAAUAUGAUAUUGAAUCUGAAUCAACUAAACAUAUGAGAACAAUUGAACAUACAAUAAAUUAAAGAAAAAUUGUGAAUUUGUGGAUUACCAGCUUGAGCCAAGGAACAAAACCAAUGGCGUUGAUGUUGGCGGUGAAGAAAAGUUUUCUCCACAACGUUGCAAGUGAUGAGCGUUUUUGCGUUAGAAAUCCAAGUUCUGCAGAGAAGUAAUGCAGAGUUGGUCUUACUGUACAUCUAUGGUGUGAGGAAAUUAGAGUUACCUUAGGUUUUGUUAGACUAUGAUUUGAAAAAUGCAAUUAGGAUGGAACUGAUGCCUAAACUUUGUAAAUGACAAAAGACUAUAAAAGUGGUGUUUAUUAUCCAAGUGUAUUAUAUUCAUUAUUCAAUGUAGGUAGUUGUAAUCAUAGGUUAUGUUAGACUAAAAUUUGAAAAAUGCAAUUAGGAUGGGACUUAGGCCUAAACUUGCAAUUAGAAUGGGACUUAUGCCUAAAUUUUGGUAAAGGACAAAACAGGUGUUUAUUAUCCAAGUGUAUUAUAUUCAAUGUAGGUAGCUAUAUUCAUAUGAAUAUUCUAUAAUGUCACGUCCCAAAACGAGCCGUGAGUGGCACCCAUACUUACCCUCCUAUGUGAGCGAACCAACCAAUCUAACCCCUACAUUUCAGCCAUAAUAAACAGAAUAAAAAUGCGGAAGACUUAAAACUCAUUAACGAAAUCAAUUAAAUAACUUCUAAAAUUUAUCAAUUACUAUCCCCAAAACCUGGAAGUCAUCAUCACAAGAACAUCUAUUCUUAAAUUACUAAAUCUAAGAAUGUCUAGGAAGCUAAAACAAAUACAAGAGAUAGUCCAUAUCCGAACUUCAAGGACAUCAAGACAUGAAUGAGAGAGAAUCCAGUCCGAGCUAGGAACAAUAGCUCACCCUGAAAUCUGACGUGGUGAAGACUGGCUAGAGUUGCGGUUGAGUUGAAGACGACGGUACGUUUGCUGUACUCCACAAAUAACAAAGAGAAAAACAUACAAGUAGGGGUUAGUACAAGCACAUGUACUGAGUAGAUAUCAUCAGUCAACUCAAAAUAGAAAGCAAUAUAUAUCAAAUAAUAUCAUAAAAUCAACUACAAUACUUAACAGGUGGCAACAACAAGUACAAGAACCAUUGGCAACAACCCAAGCGCAUCUAUGAGGACUUACGCCUCCACACCCUACUCAUUUGGGAAAAGGUUCUUUAAGUUUUGAGUAUAUUAAGAUAAUUCAAGAUUCAUUCUCUUUAUUCCUCUUGUGUCGGAACGUGACACCCGAUCCCCUAAUACUAUGUGUCGGUUCGUGACACCCGAUCCAUUAACCUCAUUCGUUUAGUUUCAUCAAGCCUUCUUUUAUACCAAGGCAUCAUCAUUAAUAGAGAGGUUUUAAGGUUUAAGAUUCAACAGUCUCAUCAUGCUAAUUCAUCACAAUUACAUAUCACAUCAUGCAAACACACAAUUAAGCAUAUAGAAGACUUUACAAAAUUACUCAAUACAUAUCAUUCGCUAUUAAGAGUUUUACUACGAAAUAGCAUAAACCAUAACCUACCUCCACCGAAGAAUUCGCGAUCAAGCAAGCUAUCCCCCAAAACCUUUGCUUUCGUCUUCGUUUCUCUCUUCUCUCGAUCGUUCUCCCUCUCUUUCUCUUUCUGAUUUUUCCUUAUUCAAACCCUUUUUCUUUUACCCUAAUUACCAUAUAAUUAAGUAUAAAAGAUGGUAAAAAUAAUCCACUAUUUAUUCCAAGGUUGUCUCCUUUAACCCCCAAGUAAUUGAAUUAUUAACAUUAACCCACUAACUUUAUAAUUAUAAGCAGGAAUAGUCCAAAACGCCCCUUAAAACUUUUAACAGAAAUCCGACUCAGUCAGGGUUACGCAGCCUGUGACGGCCCGUCGUGCCUGCGACGGUCCGUCCUGCUGCUUCUGUCACAAAGUUCAGAGACUAAAUUUCUCUAAAGGGUCUGUGACGGUCCGUCGUGUCCACGACGGUCCGUCCUGCCAUGUCGUCGCGAAGUUCAGAGAGUUGUUCUCAGUAUCCAAAUUUUCAGAAUCUAAGUGUUUUGGAACGAGACCCCCUCGACGGUCCGUCGUGCCCAUGACGGUCCGUCGUGGGAUCCGUCGACCUAGACAGUUAUUACCAAAAUAAAUUCUACUGCUCAAAACGACUAACAGGUCGUUACAAUAGAUACCAAUUUACCCAUCGUUCAUCCUCAAACGAUCACAAGAAGAAAAACAAAGGCGAAAAGGAGUACCUGAAUCUGUAAACAGGUGUGGGUAUUUUUCUUCCAUAUCAGCCUCCUUCUCCCAAGUGGACUCUUCAACUGACCGAUUCUUCCAUUGAACUUUGACAGAUGCAAUCUCCCUUGACCUCAACUUGUGGACUUCCCUAUCUAAGAUAGCAACAGGCUCCUCCUCAUAAGACAAAUUCUCAUCAAGAAGAACUGAACCCCAACGAAUGAUGUAUUUUCCAUCCCCAUGGUAUCUUUUCAACAUAGACACAUGAAAUACCGGGUGCACUCCUGACAGUCCUGGGGGCAAGGCUAAUUCAUAAGCUACCUCCCCCACGCGCUUCAGAAUUUCAAAUGGACCAAUAUACCUCGGACUAAGCUUACCUCGCUUACCAAACCGCAUCACCCCUUUCAUGGGUGAAACCUUCAGUAAGACUUGUUCACCCUCCAUAAACUCCAAGUCUCUAACCUUUCGAUCUGCACAUUCUUUCUAUUUACUUUGAGCUGCUAAAAGCUUUUCUUGAAUGCAUUUCACUUUAUCUAACGAUUCCCUCAGAAGGUCAGUACCCCAAGGUCUAACUUCAAAUGCAUCAAACCACCCAAUGGGAGACCUACACCUUCUCCCAUACAGUGCCUCAAAUGGGGCCAUAUCAAUACUUGAGUGAUAGCUAUUGUUGUAUGAGAAUUCUGCUAAGGAUAAGAAGUUAUCCCAAUGACCACCAAAUUCUAUCACAAAUGCACGAAGCAUAUCCUCUAAAACUUGAAUCGUUCGCUCAGAUAGACCAUCAGUCUGAGGGUGAAAUGCAGUACUAAGAUCCAACCUAGUACCUAACUCAGCAUGCAAUGUUUUCCAAAACUUAGAAGUAAACUGCGUACCUCUAUGUGAUAUGAUGGAAAGUGGAACUCCAUGCAAUCGAACAAUUUCUGAGAUGUAAAGUUUGGCCAACUUCUAUGCAUUGUAAGUCACCUUAACCGGAAUGAAGUGAGCAGACUUAGUUAACCUAUCAACAAUUACCCAAAUGGAGUCACACUUACCCAUUGUCUUUGGAAGACCAACCACGAAGUCCAUUGCAAUUCUCUCCCACUUCCAUUCAGGAAUGGGCAUUCUCUGGAGUGUCCCUCCAGGCCUCUGGUGUUCAUACUUUACCUGCUGACAAUUCGGGCAUUGAGCAACGAAAUCAAAAAUGUCCCUCUUCAUCCUAUUCCACCAAAAAUGUUGCUUUAGGUCACGGUACAUCUUGGUUGCACCAGGAUGUAUAGAAUACCUUGAACUAUGAGCCUCUAUAAGAAUAGUGUGAAUCAAAUCAUCGACGUUGGGUACACAUACUCUUCCCUUAGUCCUCAAAACACCUUCCUCAUCGAUUUUUGCUUCUUUAUCCUCUCCUCGCAAUACCUUAUCUCGAAUCUGGAUCAGUUUCUCAUCAGCAAACUGCUUUCCCUUAAUCUUAUCAAGAAAGGAAGAUCUUGCCUCGACACAGGCCAAAAAUCCUCCCUUGUCAUUUACUUCUAGCCUCAUGAGGUCAUUAGCCAGAGUCUGAACCUCUCUAGACAAUGGGCGUCUAGAAACCUGCAAGUGGGCUAGACUUCCCAUGCUCCCUGCCUUUCUACUUAAGCCAUCUGCCACCACAUUAGCCUUUCCUGGAUGAUACAAGAUAGUGAUAUCAUAGUCCUUCAGUAGUUCCAUCAAUAUCCUCUGUCUCAAAUUCAAAUCUUUCUGAGUAAAGACAUACUGUAAACUACGAUGAUCCGUAUAGACUUCACACUUAACCCCAUAUAGAUAAUGUCUCCAUUGCUUUAAUGCAAACACUGCUGCCGCUAACUCCAAAUCGUUGGUUGGAUAAUUACGUUCAUGCACUUUUAAUUGCCUUGAGGCAUAAGCAAUUACAUUGUUCUCUUGCAUUAGCACUGCACCCAAACCAGAAUAGGAUGCAUCACAGUAAACAAUGAAAUUCUUACCUUUCACUGGCAAGGUAAGAAUUGGUGCAGUAGUCAACAAGGUCUUGAGCUUCUGAAAGCUUUCUUCACACUCGUCCGACCAUACAAAUGGAACACUCUGCUUAGUCAAGUUUUUCAAUUGGGAAGCAAUGGAAGAAAAUCCCUUGACAAAUCGACGGUAGUAGCUAGCUAAACCAACGAAGCUCCUUACCUCUGUAACAUUAGUAGGUCUUACCCAAUUCUUCACUGCUUCAAUCUUGGAAGGAUCCACCAUCACUCCGUCCUUAGAAACUACGUGCCCCAAGAAGGACACUGAAUCUAUCCAAAACUCACACUUAGAGAAUUUGGCAUAAAGUUUUUUUCUCCCUCAACAUUUCCAAUACCAUUCUCAAGUGCUCCUCAUGUUCUUUCUUGCUCUUUGAGUAUACCAGUAUGUCAUCAAUGAAUACAAUGACGAAGAGAUCCAGAUAUGGCUUAAAAAUCCCGUUCAUCAAGCUCAUGAAAGCAGCAGGGGCAUUCGUAAGCCCAAAAGACAUUACUAAGAACUCAUAAUGCCCAUACCUGGUCCGAAAAGCAGUCUUGGGCACAUUCGUUGCCCGUAUUUUUAAUUGAUGAUAACCAGAUCUCAAAUCGAUUUUUGAGAAGGUACAAGUUCCUUGUAACUGAUCGAACAAAUCAUCGAUGCGAGGAAGAGGAUACUUGUUCUUAACAGUUACCUUAUUCAGUUGUCUGUAAUCAAUGCACAUCCGAAAACUUUCAUCCUUCUUCUUCACAAACAGAACAGGAGCACCCCAAGGGGAUGUACUUGGUCUAAUAAAGUCUUUUCUUAACAACUCUUGAAGUUUGGCCUUUAACUCUCUUAACUCAGCGGGAGCCAUCCUAUAAGGGGGUAUGAAAAUGGGACGAGUACCCGGCUCCAGAUCAAUGCAAAAGUCGAUAUCCCUUUCCAGUGGCAUACCAGGAAGUUUUGCAGGAAACACAUCCAGAAACUCACGGACUAUUGAAACCGACUCAAUUGAAGGUACUUGGGUAGUAUCAUCCCUGAGGUGUGCCAAGAAAGCUAAACAACCCUUUCUAACCAUUCUCUUAGCACGAAGGAAGGAGAUGAUACGAACUGGAGUGGAAGUGUAGUCACCCUCCCACACUAACGGAUCUGUCCCAGGCUUGGCCAAUGUCACAGUUUUGGCAUUGCAAUCUAAGAUUGUGAAGUUUGGAGAAAGCCAAGUCAUACCCAGAAUUACAUCGAAAUCAACCAUUUCUAAGAUAACCAAGUCUACAUGAGUAUUGCUCCCCAUAAAAGUCAUAAGACAAGACCUAUACACCUUUUCAACUAUCACAAACUCACCUACCGGAGUAGAAACACGAAUAGGCAUGUCAAGCAAUUCACAAUGUAAAUUAAGACCAGUAGCAAAUGAGGAAGAUACAUAUGAAAAUGUGGAUCCAGGAUCAAAUAAUACAGAAGCCAUUAAAUCACAAACCAAAAGAUUACCUGUGAUAACAGCAUCAGAUGCCUCCGCUUCAGACCUCCAAGGGAAAGCAUAACAAUGGGCCCUAUCACCGGUCUGUCUGUUGCCCCUACCAUGUUGCGGUGUAGUAGUUCCAGCUUGCCCGUCACCCCGGCCGUUUUGAUGACCACCAUUACCUCGGCCACCACGUCCUCUUGAAUAACGACCUCUUCCAUGACCACCUCUACCUCUGAUUAUUGGGGGUCUGUAACUCUGUUUUGGACAAUUUCUCCUAAUAUGUCCAGUCUCUCCACAUCCAUAACAAUCUCUGGAUUCAAGCAUAGGUCUUUGUGAGAACGACGGAGUCUAAGGAUAACCUCCAAACUCAGAGAAAUAUUGACCGGUCUGCAGUGGACCCCCAGCUACAGUCUGUAGUGAAGACUGAAUAGGGCGGGCUGGAUAACCUCCUGAACUCUGCCCUCUAGAGUAAGAACCAUUAAACUCACCUCCUUUACGAAACCUCUUAGAUGUCGAUGCCAUGGUGAAGUCGUCUGGCUUCACUCCCUCCACUUCUAUCACGAAAUCUACCACCUCCUGAAAGGAUUUUGCUGAAGCAGCUACCUGUAAGGCUGAAAUUCGCAAGUCUGACCUCAACCCUUUCACGAAACGGCGAAUCCGCUCUUGUGGACUGAAGCAAAGCUGGGUGGCAUACCUGGAUAGUGCACGAAACUUAGCCUCAUAAGCAGUGACCGACAUCCUGCCUUGCUCUAGGCUCAGGAACUCAUCUCUCCUCCUAUCCCUCAAAGUCCGGGGUAUAUACUUCUCCAUAAACAAGCUAGAGAAUGAUGCCCAAGUCAUAGGUGAUGACUGUGCUGGUUGACACUCGACAUACGAUUGCCACCACAUUUUGGCAUUUCCCUGGAACUGAUAAGUUGCAAACUCAACGCCAAAUCGUUCUACUAUGCCCAUCUUGUGUAGUAGCUCAUGACAAUCAACCAGAAAAUCAUAGGCAUCCUCAGAUUCAGCACCCUUGAAGACUAGAGGUUUCAAUUUCAAGAACUUACUGAAAAGUUCAUACUGAUCACUUGUCAUUAUAGGCCCUGUAGGCAAGCGAGGAAACGUGCCUAUUUCAAAGGAGGCAUCCAUGCAGGGAGCCGCAGCAGCUGCAUGUUGUACUCCCGGAACCUGAGGCGCUGGUGCAGAAAACACUGGAGGUGCCUGGCCCUGAUCAGAUAACCCACUAAGAUAAGCAAGAACCUGGUUAAUCAUCUCUGGGGUAGGUUGGGGUGGUAAUUCCUCAUUCUGUACUUGUUCAUUCUCUCCUUCCUCACCCUCUCUUACUACUUCCUCGGUCGGUGGAGGAGUCACCGCCCUAGUACUAGAUGGGCCAGGUGCUUGUCCUCUUCCUCUAGAGGACGUCCUCCCGCGACCUUUACCACGGCCUCUUGCCACUGCCCCUCUUCGAGCUACAGCCUCAGUGGCUAGUUCAGACGCAUCUUGUCUUGCCGGUGUUGGUGUUGGCGCAAUUGUUGCUCUAGUUCUAACCAUCUGCGAAAUAGAGUGAAGAUGGUCAGAUACCAAUUUGUAUCACCUCGAUACCAAUUGGAUCCAAGUAAUAGCACGAAAGAAAGAAAGAAUGGAAUUUUCCUAAAGUCUUGUAGCCUCUCAAAGAAAAGUAAAGGCGUCCCCUACCGUUCCCCAAGACUCUACUAGACUCGUUCUUGUGUGAUGAGACCAACGAACCUAAUGCUAUGAUACCAAGUUUGUCACGACCCAAAACGAGCCGUGAGUGGCACCCACACUUACCCUCAUAUGUGAGCGAACCAACAAAUCUAACCCCAACAUUUCAGCCAUAAUAAACAGAAUAAAAAUGCGGAAGACUUAAAACUCAUUAAUGAAAUCAAAUAAAUAACUUCUAAAAUUUAUCAAUUACUAUCCCUAAAACCUGGAAGUCAUCAUCACAAGAACAUCUAUUCUCAAAUUACUAAAUCUAAGAAUGUCUAGGAAGCUAAAACAAAUACAAGAGAUAGUCCAUAUCCGAACUUCAAGGACAUCAAGACAUGAAUGAAAGAGAAUCCAGUCCGAGCUAGGAACAAUAGCUCACCCUGAAAUCUGACGUGGUGAAGACUGGCUAGAGUUGCGGUUGAGUUGAAGACGACGGUACGUUUGCUGCACUCCACAAAUAACAAAGAGAAAACAUACAAGUAGGGGUUAGUACAAGCACAUGUACUGAGUAGAUAUCAUCGGCCAACUCAAAAUAGAAAGCAAUAUAUAUCAAAUAAUAUCAUAAAAUCAACUACAAUACUUAACAGGUGGCAACAACAAGUACAAGAACCAUUGGCAACAACCCAAGCGCAUCUAUGAGGACUUACGCCUCCACACCCUACUCAUUUGGGAAAAGGUUCUUUAAGUUUUGAGUAUAUUAAGAUAAUUCAAGAUUCAUUCUCUUUAUUCCUCUUGUGUCGGAACGUGACACCCGAUCCCCUAAUACUAUGUGUCGGUUCGUGACACCCGAUCCAUUAACCUCAUUCGUUUAGUUUCAUCAAGCCUUCUUUUAUACCAAGGCAUCAUCAUUAAUAGAGAGGUUUUAAGGUUUAAGAUUCAACAGUCUCAUCAUGCUAAUUCAUCACAAUUACAUAUCACAUCAUGCAAGCACACAAUUAAGCAUAUAGAAGACUUUACAAAAUUACUCAAUACAUAUCAUUCGCUAUUAAGAGUUUUACUACGAAAUAGCAUAAACCAUAACCUACCUCCACCGAAGAAUUCGCGAUCAAGCAAGCUAUCCCCCAAAACCUUUGCUUUCGUCUUCGUUUCUCUCUUCUCUCGAUCGUUCUCCCUCUCUUUCUCUUUCUGAUUUUUCCUUAUUCAAACCCUUUUUCUUUUACCCUAAUUACCAUAUAAUUAAGUAUAAAAGAUGGUAAAAGUAAUCCACUAUUUAUUCCAAGGUUGUCUCCUUUAACCCCCAAGUAAUUGAAUUAUUAACAUUAACCCACUAACUUUAUAAUUAUAAGCAGGAAUAGUCCAAAACGCCCCUUAAAACUUUUAACAGAAAUCCGACUCAGUCAGGGUUACGCAGCCUGUGACGGCCCGUCGUGCCUGCGACGGUCCGUCCUGCUGCUUCUGUCACAAAGUUCAGAGACUAAAUUUCUCUAAAGGGUCUGUGACGGUCCAUCGUGUCCACGACAGUCCGUCCUGCCAUGUCGUCGCGAAGUUCAGAGAGUUGUUCUCAGUAUCCAAAUUUUCAGAAUCUAAGUGUUUUGGAACGAGACCCCCUCGACGGUCCGUCGUGCCCAUGACGGUCCGUCGUGGGAUCCAUCGACCCAGACAGUUAUUACCAGAAUAAACUCUACUGUUCAAAACGACUAACAGGUCGUUACAUAUAAUUACGUACGGUAGUCAAUUAUUAGAUUCAUAUGAAUAUUAUAUAAUUUGAAUAGGAGGGAAUACAGAGGUUUACAAUAUUUUUAAAUUUUUGUAAAGUAAAAUAACUUAUGCACGAUGUCGUUGUCAAUUAUAUUGGAUUAUUGACCAUCCUAAUUGCAUUUUAUGCUAGUUAAAUUUUUAUACAAUAAAAUAUAUACACUUGGAUAUUUAUAUUUUUAUACAACAGUUAAUGGUGUAUGUAAUUGAAAAAUUAAUAUCCUACAUACAGUUAAGAGCAUAAAUAUCAAGUUGUAAUCAUACUCUUUAAAAAUAAACUACUUAUAGCAUAUUAUUAUGAUCCUAUAGCACAUCAAUUAAUAAUAUAUUAAUUAAGAAAAUAUUUAAAAAUAAACUAUUUAUAGCAUAUUAUUAUCAAAUUAUAGCAUAUUAACUAAUAAUAUAUUAAUAAAAAAAUUAUUAUUUAACUAAUAAUUAUUAUGUUUAAAUAAUCAGUUUCAUUUAUUCACUUACCUUUUAUCAACAAAACCUUUUAAGUUAUUACUGAUUAAUCAAUUACCUUUUAAAGUUUUUCAUAUAAAUAAUAAAUUAUUAAAUAUUAAUCAAUUACCUUUUAAUGUUUUUAAUAUAAAUAAUAAAUUAUUAUUUAUUAAAUAUUAAUUAAACUUCAUAUUAUAUAGUUACCUUUUAAAAAAUAAAAUCUAAAAAUUAGGGAUUUGAUUUUAAUUAGAUUUUAAUUAAUUUCAUAUUAUAUGGUUACCCGAUAACUAUUCACCCCCAUAUCAACCAAUACUCUUUUAUCUUCCCUCAAUACACUCAACCUCUCUCCUAUUUACAUGCUUCUCUUUCUACCAUAUUAAUUUUGCACACUUUUACGUUUCUCUCUCUAUUAAUCAAUUAAAAGCACCACAUGUUUCUCUCUCUAUUAAUUAAUUAAAGAUAGAAACUCUUUCAAGCUUUUAACUUAUUUUCCAAAAUCAGAUUAACCUUAAAAUCCUUAUUCAACUAUAUCUCUAUCAAUCUUUCACAAGGUUUUUUAUUUUUCGACCAUCAAAUUCGCAAUAUUGCAUGAUUUUCGAAAAAAAUCGUGUCGUAUAGAUCAUCAAACAGGUUUAUUUCUUAAAGUAUUUAUUUUUUCUCUGAUUCUUUUGUCAACUUAUUUAAUUUUUAUAUGUUGUUACUUGAUUUUAGGAGAAAUUUACGUUGUAUAGAUAAUGCAGGUUUCUUCAAGAUUUAUAUUUGUUUAUUUCAAAUUCUUUAAUAUUUAUUUGUCUAUAAAUUUUUAGGAUCUGAUUGUUGAAUACAAUGUAUAAACCAAAUACCCUAAGGAGAUUCACAAGAGAUACAAACUAUACCGAUAACUUCAUGGUUGAAAUACCAUCUUUUGAUCUAUGUAUAACUCAAAUUCAAUUGCAAAUCUCAGGCUAUACAACUGCGAUGGAAUUAGAGAAGAAGUCGAAUGAUGAACUAGUAAGGUCUAGUCCUUCUAAAAGGAAGGUAGUGUCAACGGUGAAAGCAAUCGAAAAAAAAUGUUACAAGAGGAGGAAAGUAAAAAAUUAUGUCCCGGACAUGAUUGGAGAACCGGUUGUUAAUGAAGAACAAGACGAAGUGCAUGAAGAAUCACAUAGUUCAUCAAUUUCUUCUUCUUCUUCUCUUCUUGGUGUGUGAAACCAAGAGAUGAUUUUGACUUGUCACAGAAAUCCAGCAGUAGAGAUCUUGUAACACUCAUGUAUGCAUGUUGUAUAAAAUAUAUUUAACUAUAUAUAUCAUAAUAGAUUUACUGUUGUAUUUAAUGGUAGUAUGCUUAAAUUAUUAUUUGCACUUUAUUAAAUAUGUAUGAUUUUUGUAUAAAUUUCAAUUGCAAUAUGCAAAAAUAUAUGAUCGUUGUAAAAAAUGUAUAAAUAUUGUAUAAAUUAUGAAUGCAUAUUGAACUUUGACAUAUGUAACGUAAACAAAUGAUAUAUAUAUAUACAUAUAUAUAUAUAUAUACAGAAAAGGGCCUAAAAUAUCCUUAAAGUAUUGAAAAUGGUACAAAAUUACACCUAUUGGCUCCAAAAUGUCCUUCCCACCCACCUAAUGGGUCCAAAAUACCCUUGUCAUCCACCUUUUGGUUCAAAAUUGACCACUUAUUUAACGGUUUUAUAUUUAAAUAUUUUUUAAAAUACGUGGCGCUCAACUAUUUGUUAUAAUCUAUCUUAUUAGUGUAAUUUACAAAUCAAUCCACUACCCACCCAUUACUAAUUAAAUCCCUCUAAAUUAAUGAACCCGUCAAAUUAUUAAUGCAAGCUACUACCAAUUGAGUGUUUUUAAAAAAUAUAGAAGAAAAUUAUCAUACAUUCAAGUGGCUACAUAAAAAUCACCGAUAAACUUAAAAGUCUGACUAUGUUCAUCUUAAUUAUUCUUACGUCUUAAUUAUGUGAUGUUACCUCAUAGGUAACUUUUUUUCAAAAUAAUAUAUUAAAGGUUUUAAAAUAAAUCAUAAAUAUUUAUAAAAUUAUAUUUAAAAUAAGAGGCAUUAAUUAAAUCGAGAUGUAUUAUUUCUUUACCUUUAAUCAUAAUUUUCUAAUUCAAUUUUGAAAUAAAGUGUCCUCCUAAAUAAGCGGCUCAACCUAAAUUUCAUUGGGGCUUCGAUUCGGACUCAAAUAAUUUUGAAUGUCAUUUUCAGUAAUCUAUAAUUUCAUCGUGUUUUAGUAGUGUUUAUGACAAUUUUGAUAUUAUAAUUGAAUUAUUAAUUGAGUGAGGUUUAGUUUGUAAUGAGUGGGUAGUGGAUUAGUUUAUAAAUUAUAUUAAUAAAUUAAAAUUAUAAUUAAUAGUUGAACGCCCAGUAUAUAUAAAAAAAUAUUUAAAGAGUUUAAUCUUAAAACAAUUGAAAAUGGUCAAUUUUGAACCCAAAGGUGGAUGACAAGGGUAUUUUGGAGCCAAUAGGUGGAUGAAGGGUAAUUUUGUACCAUUUUCAAUACUUUAAGGUUAUUUUAGGCCCUUGUGUGUGUAUAUAUAUAUAUAUAUAUGACAAUGUUUUACGAAACCAAAUUUUAUAAGUGUCAAUGAUAACAACUGCACUCAAUAAAACAAAACGUGUUUCUAACAUUCAAAACAACACAAUAACAAGUGUAACAUUACGAAAUCAUUAUUUUUGCACAGGAUAAUUUGAACAUUUCUUUCUAUUGUGUCCAACUUGACGACAUCUACUCCAAAUCAUUUUUGUUCUUUUGAAUUUCACGUCAGCAAACCCCUUCCAUCUUUCAAGUUUUGGCAUACCCGCCGUACAAAAUUAAUACAAAAUAUAUAUUCUAAUUUCAUUAGAAACAUAUACUGUAAUUUUGAAAAAAAAAUGGACUUUCAUACACAAAUGAUACACGUUUUGUAUAAUCUUCAUACACUAUUAAAAAAAAUUCAAACUUCAACAUUACACAAAUUUAUAAUCAGUUCAUAUAAUUCAUACACACUUCAUGCACAGUUAAUAUAUCAUUCGUUGUCCUAUACAAUACUCAAAUUAAACAAACACAAUAUAUUUUCAAUACAGAAUUAAUAUAAAAACAUAUAUUAUAAUUUAAAUAGAAACAUAUAUUGUAUGUCAAACUCUUCAAAUUCUCAGGCGUGCAACAUUGAAUAAAUGCAGUAAUUAUGACUAAAAAAAGCCACUUAAUUUAUAUUGUCAUAAGUUCUUAAUCAUUAAAAUUAAUUACUCAUUAUCACUUUAUCUACUUAAUUUUUAAUUGAUUUUUAAUAACAACUCUUUUUAAUAAAUUAUAGUUAUAGAUGUCAAUAUGGGCUAGCCCACCCCAUCUGGGCUAACCCAUGCAGACUUUGACAUUUUACGAGUCAGGCCAGGCUCGCCCAUUUUUGGCGUGGGUCAGAAAAUGGUCGGCCCAACCCAUAAGUAUGUGGACUACAGGCUUAAUGGGUCAACCCAUUUUUUAAAAAAAAAUUAUAUUUUUUUAUAAUUAUUAAAUUUAAAUUAUAAUUAUAAUUUAAAAUAUUAUCAUAAAUAUCGACAAAACAAUAUUACAUGAUGUUAAUGUUAGUACUUGUUAAUCAAAUCAAAAUAAAAUUAUUUUUAUAAUAUUUAUUAGGGAUAAUUUCAGAGACCUCCAUGUUUCGCUCUAUAACACUCACCUCCCUUUUGGUUUACGAUAUUACGUCUACCUCCCUUAUUUUCAUUACUUCUAAUCAUUCUUUAAAUCUAUUUAAAACAAAUAUAAAUUAAUAUAGAUUUGACAAUUUUACUCUUUUUUAUAUAAAUUUCUUCUUAUUAAUGAAUAUUAUAUAAAAAAUAACUCAUUUAACAAAUACUUUAAAAAUAAAUUAACACAAAGACUUAUUUUUUUAAUCCAACAAAGAUCAAAUUCUUAACUAAGCUGACCACAUUUUCACCAAAUAUUAACUCUUUAUCUCUAUUACACCUUUACCAAUUCAUGUAAAAUUUUCCCCCACAAUAACCCAUCAUUUUUAGGCAAUAAUUUCUUCAAAUAGCAGACAAAAUUGAACUUUCCAAGAAAGAAAUUCGAUAAGAACGAUAAGAUUUUGUUCUAGUUAAACAAUUACACAAGCGAAGAAGAAACAUGAUCCAACGAAUAAAGAUAAAUCAUUGAAAAUUAGAUCUAAGCAUUCAUAAAGGGUAAAUUUGUCAAAUCUAAAUUAAUUUAUAUUUAUUUAAGAAGGUUUAAAGAAUGGUUACAAGAAAAUGAAAAUAAGGGAGGUAGACGUUGUUGACACCCAAUUUUGGCCUACCAUUUUAAAAAUUCGUGAUUUUGAAGCUUUGUUUAUUUAAUAGCAAAUUUUUGUUCGAUGAUUUUAAAAUUCAUACAUUUUGAGUCAAAUAAAAAAAUGCCUUUCCCACGUUGUCUCUCAAACAAUUUUCAAUUUUGCAAUAGUCCCACAUCGGUAUUUCAUCCUUUUUGAGGAUUUUUGGGUUUCUACAUAAGCCCACUUCAUUCACUAUUUUUAGGAGAGGAUUUGGAGGGGAAAACAAAAGAAUACUCAUAAAAUUUUGAGAAUUCUUGGUUCCCAUAGUUAAAAAAUUUUAAAGUAUUUUUGUGGUUUUUCGAGUUGAGGAGGUGGAGUCGUCUCUUUCAAAUUCGGAGUUUCGGUUUGCUGUCCAGAACCAGGUAAAUUUUUUUUUUGCCUUGUUUUAUUUAAUUCCCAGUUCUUUUAUGUUUUCUGUUUAUUAUAUGUAGCUUGUUUUGUUUUUUUAGUUUAAUGUAGUUCUAAAAGUCAAUUAAUAUUUGUGUUUAUUGUAGUUUUAAUAUUAGCAUUAUUUUACGAUUCGAUGUUUAUUUAUUUAUUAUCACUAUUAUUUUAAAAUUGUUAGUCAACUAUUUGCUAUCUUAACUUUUCAGGGUUUUGUUAUUAUUCUAUUUUAAUGUUAUUUUUAAUUUUUAUAUAUUACGUUAUUGUUGUUUCCAUUUCUAAUUAUGUUAUUUAGUUUGAUUGUUUUUUUCCAUAUUCUCUUGGGAUAAGUUUGUUAUGUUUUGUUGAUGUUCAGUUUAUAUAUUUUAUAUGUUGAAAAGGGCCGAUGAAGAAAUUACCGUCGAUUUCCAAGGCCUCCCAUGUCAAUAAGACAGAUUUUUAUUCUUAAGUUAUUAUUUGAGUUAUUCAUUUUUUGUUAUAUUUAUUUGGCACUAACUCUUUUACUAAGUGUCUUUACAGGUACACUGAGGUGCUUUUCCUUGAAAUUAUUCGAAAAAGUUCGAAUUAUAUUUUUAUUUCGUUAUUUUGUAAAUAUUGACGUUAGGCAAACCUUAGGCCGAUGAUUAUUAUUUUAUUGUGUAUAUUGUGUGUUUAUUAUUUGUAUAUUAUUUUAUUCUUCCUCAAUUUGAAAAAAAAAAUGAAUUCAGUCGGGAACCACAUUUGUGGAUUCCGAAGGGUGCCUAACCCCUUCCCUUCGGAAUAACUUGAACCCCUUACCUAGAAUCAAUUUGAUUUCGUAGAUUAAUAAUCGAUUUCCUAGUUUUCCUAAAAAUUAGGUGGCGACUCUUUUUUUAAAAAAAACUCAUUUAUUUUUUAAAACUUUGUUAAAAUUGAAUCAAUUAAUAAUUUUCUGAGUUGCCGUGACGUUUCGACUUAUUCCAAAAGAUUAGGGAUGUAAACAAACGUAAUAUCGUAAACCACAGGGAAGGUGAGUGUUAUAGAGCGAAGCCUGAAGGGAGGUCUCUGAAAUUAUCUCUAUUUAUUAAGUUUUUUUUUCAAGUAAAAGUAUAAAUAUAUAAAUAAAAAUAUUAACCUAAUUAUUUUGAAUUUGGACUCUCUUUAAUUUUAAAUUUUAAUAUUAUAUUAUAUUUUUUAAUUAAUUAUUAUUGGCCCACGGACCGGCCCUACCUAUAUUUUUCAAGCCCAUCAAAUCAACAGGCUUAUUCAAGUCGGGCUAAACAAUCCUUUUCUUAAAUGGGCUCAAAAAAUCUUAGUCCAACCCUAUUAAAUCCCCAGUUAGGCCAGGCCUGCCCAACGGGCCUAACACAUAUUGACGGCUCUAAUUAUAGUUAACAAUAUAAUUACUAAUAAAAUGCUAUAGAGUGAGAUAUUAAAUGCUACAUAAUGAAAAUAAAAUUCUAAUGUCAUUACUUGGUAAUAAUACUACAUAUAAUGCUAUAUACAAAAUUUUCUCUAUGUAAUUAUUAUACAAUAAAAUAUAUACACUUGGAUACUUAUAUUUUUAUACAAUAGUUAGAUGUGAGUAUGUAUUUAUUUAUUGUUAAUUUAAAAAUGGAAGUUCAGAGUAUAAGGGGGCGUAAUUAAACGACCAACAAUAAUAAUAACAAAAAUUACAUUAUUUAGUGCAAUAUAAUUUAAAUUGUAUCAUUGUUCUUUAAAAAAAUCUACAUAUAGUUUGAAUACAACGAGGUUUAGGUCUCAUUUAUUUCCACUUAAUGGAUGUAUGAAUCUUAAUCAUUCAGAUUCAGUUGAUUAAGUAUGUUUGGUAUUUAGGUAUGAAUCUGAAUCAUUCUGAUUCAGCCCAUUAAGUUCAUUUGUUUUAUUAUUUAAAAAAUCUCUUAAUGGGUCUGAAGAGGUCUAAACGAAUCAAUUUUGUAGGAGACUCUUAACAACAUUCAGACUCAUUUAAUAAAUUAUCAAAUAAUAAAUCAUUGCUUUCCUGUUUUGGUAUGUCUUUUUAUCUCAUAACUAAAAAAAAAUUCUCUCUUUUCUCAAUCAAACACCAUUUUCCUCUCUUCAACUAGUAAGUUUUCAUAAAUCCUUUCAAGUAUUUCUUUUUAUAUCAAUAAUUUUCUUGUAUUGACGUGUGUCAAAAAUAGUGGUUGCAAUAAUAUAUUUGAUGUAUUAUUGUUUAUUAUGGGUUUUGAAUGAAAAGUAGUGCUCCAAAUCAUGAUCAUUAAACUCUUAAAACUUUUUUUUAAUCAAAAGUGGUAUAUUUUGUUGAAAUGAAAAUUUUAUAAUAUGUUAUUAAUAUAGUAUUCAAUUUCAUAUGCACAUUCAAAUAUAGAAAACAAACAACAUGAAUUAUUUAGUGUUUAGAUUUAGAGACCACAUCUUAAUAUUCAUAUGUGUAUUCACAUCAAAACACUUAAAUCUUAUACUAUGUUUGAAUCAUUUUAUCCAUUGUAUUGUAUUGUAUUGUUACUAUACCUACGAUGUUUGUUUUGAUUGUUACUUAAAAAAUGUAUUGUACUGUAUUGUUAAAUUUCGUUGUUACGUAACAAUUAAAAUUCCUAUUUUAUGAACAACCAAUUUGGUGUGUUCCCAUUGUUACUUAAUUUCUUUUUUCAAUUAUAUUUUUAUAUAAUAUUUCAAAAUACUAUUUUACCCUUUACCUUAAUUAUUCAAAUCUAGUCAAACCUCUUACCCUUGAAUAAUUAACAAUAUUUAAGUAAAUUUAUAAAUUACAAUACAGUACAAUAUAAUCAAACUAAACAAUUAAAAUGUUACUAUACAACAACAAACAAUACAAUCUAGCUAAACAUUGUAUCUACCAUACAAUACCGUACAAUAUAGUACAAUACAAUACAAUAUAUUAUGAAACAAUGGAUAACAAUGAUCCAAACAAAGUGUUAAUGCAAAUCUGAAUAUUCAUAUUUGUAUUCAGAUUCAAACCUCUUAAUCUUAAUCCAAGCAAAUGAAACCUAAGUCAUGAACUAUAGCAUUUUUUUGUAAAUAUUAUAUAUACUUAUAGUUUUUUAAAUUUCAUAACCCUAAACUAUAGUCAUUUUUGUAAGACCAUUCUCAAUCCAUCUCUAUUUUACUCUCAUUCUCUAUAUUUGGAGAGUAAAAUAGAGAAUGCCCUCUCCAACCCCUCUCCAUAUUACUCUCUAUACUCCAUUUAUAGAGAGGUAAUUUGGAGAACUACUAUUCACACUCUCUAUUUCACUUUUUCAAUACUUUAUUAUUAUUUUCAUUACCUUUUAAUUAACAUAUUAUUUUACAUAUAAUUUCAUUAAUUAAACAUCUAAUAUUCAUGAUUCUUUUUAAAUGUAAUAUACUAUUUUAAAAAAUAUAUUAUCUAAUAUAUACUACUUUAAUUUCAUUAAUAUAUUUUUAAUAAUUUUCACCAAUUAUAAUGUUAUUGAUUUUCUUUUUAAAGAAUACACAAAAUUAAAAUGGUAAGAUGAAAAAAUUAAUUUAAAUAUGAAUAACAAUACAAUACAAAGCAAUAAUUUAAAUACAAAAUAAAAUACAAUACAUAACAUAAUAAUUAAUACGACGAAACAAAAAUCAAGUUGAAAAGAUGUGGAACGUAUAUUCGGAGUUUUGCAAUUAUUGCAAGACCGUCACGUUUUUGGAGAAAGAAAGUGCUACAUGAUAUAAUAACUACAUGUAUUAUACUACAUAAUGUGAUAAUUGAGGACAUGAUCUUCACCAAUUCAAAAUGUCGUAGAGGCUUGAUAUACCGUGGUUUCACGGUAUUAUUAAUACUUUUUCCUUAAGUUUAGUAUGUCCAAAAGCCUUUUUGUGCUAAUUUUUAUAUAAGUUUCUCCUUAUUUGCAAAAAAUCUGUCCAAAGAUGAAUGCGGAGGUUUUUGAGCGAAGAAAUGCAGAAGAGAGCACCUACGGAGCUUGUGAUGGUCCGUCAUGCUCGUGACGGUCCGUAGGUGACAACGUAGUGCAGCUGCUGAAGGAAGAUGGGGAAGUCUGACCAAGUAUGGGGUUACGGAGUCCAUGACGGCCCGUCGUGUCUAUGAUGGUCCGUCCUGCAGGUUCGUCAUGAAGUUCAGAGAAGUAGUCCCAGUACCCUUAUUCCAAGAGUUUAAGUGUUUUGGAACGAAGACCCUCGAGGGACCGUUGUGCCUGUGAUGAUCCGUAAUACUUGCCAUCAAGGGUAAUGAAGAGAGCAGCAGAAGAAAUUGCACAAGUAUGGGACGACGGAGUCCAUGAAGGUCCGUCGUGACCACAACGAUCCGUCGCGAUGUCCGUCGACCAGCCACAUUUUGACAGAUUUCCAGCAAAUAGAUUCCUUGUUUAAUUAGGUUUUUAUUUUCUAUAAAUAGUUCCAAAAACCUCAUUUUUGAGGUUAGACUUUGGACCAUUGUUAGACUCUGGAUUAUUUGGUUAGGCCUUUGAUUAUCAUUAGAUUUUUUGUGAGAUUCUUGAUUACUUUGAGAUUCUCAUGAAAUUGGGACAUGAUUUUGAGCCUUUUAGAGCUAACAUUCUUAACAGAGAAAUUCUUUCAAACAUCGAUGAAGUUUUUAGAAAACUUAUUCGUGAAGAGACAUGCAUCAAUACUCUAGCAUCUAUGGAUUCGUCCUACACAAUUGAUGCGGUUAUAUAUAUAUUAAAAGGUACUCAUAAAUUAUAUACUCAGAGCUCAAUUCAAAAGUCUGGACCACAGUGUUUUGAGUGAAAAGAGUACGAUCAUAUUGUGCCACAUUGAAAGAAAAAAAAAUGUAAUAACUGUAAGAAGCCUGGCUAUAUAAUUUUAGAGUGCAAUCGACGCUCAAACACGCGUCAAACCAAGCAAAAAGCUUAUCAAGCGUAUGAUACGCUCAAACUUACUUCUCAAAUAAGAAGUAAAGCGGUCGUGCCAAGUAAAUAACCCAACUAAUGAGGUUGGGAUCGUUCCCACGAGGAAAAUAGUUUAGACUUAACUUCAAUCUAUUAUUACUAUUGUUUAGUCAAUUACUUUCUUGGAAAGCAAAAAAUGAUAAAACGGGGGGGGGGGGGGGAGGGUUCAUUUCUAAAUAAAUGAAAAUAACUAGCGAACUUGAAGGAGACAACUAACAGCUUCAAAUGUUGGAGUUUAAUCAAUUAAUAAAAGUAAAUAGGGUUUACGUGUUCCCCACAGGUUCAUAACUUGAUAAUUAUAACUGUAAAUAUUCUAUCCUAGUAUCUUGCAUGCAAAGUCAUAAGUUAUGUAUUUCUAAAUCCUUGGUCCGGCAUCUAGAAAAUUUCACUCCGCACCUUGGUCUGGCUACGUCUGUUACUAUACUAACCCUUAUCUUAACCGCAUAUUAAGCAUCGUAUUCGAUAUUUGAAUAUGUUAUUACCUCGUACCAAUCAAUACUAGCCUAUUAGAUAGUAUACACUAAAUCUAUGUUGAUAAUUCUUUUCCUAUUAUCUACCUCCUUGGUCCGGCAAGUAGCAUUAAGGCGAGUUCUAAUGUUGGUCAUCCGUUAAAAAGACUUCUAAGCAAAAUAAUUAUCAAUACAUGCAAGACACUAUUCUAGAAUUGUUAUUUUAGUUAGGUUUUACCUCAUUAUUCACCUAUGGUUCCCACAACCCUAGUUAUGGAGUUUAGUUACCCAUAGUCAUAUUCACAAUAUUCAAAUAUGUAAUAUAAGAAUUCAUGCACUUACUUCAAUGAGAAAGAGUAAAAUUCAAAAGUUCGCUUGAUUAAUCAACAAAAAUCACCAACAAUCAAUUACUGAAAUUAAUUGAAGAACAAAUAUUCUCCAAAAGUGUAACAAUAAUCCUCAAGUCUAAUCCACAAAAGAAGCUCAAAAAUCAAGAGUCUAACAAAGAGUCUGAAAAUAAUCAAGGGUCUAACCUCAAAAAUGAGGUUUUUCAAACUAUUUAUAAAAAAAUAAAAACCUAUUAAAUAAGGACUCUAUUUGCUGGAAAUCUUUCAAAACGCGGCUGGAUCGACGGACCUCGCAACGGAUCGUCGUGGUCACAACGGACCGUCAUGGAACUCCAUCGUUCCAUACUUGUGCAAUUUCUUCUGUUGCUCUCUUCAUUACCCUUGACGGCAGGUAUGACGGAUCGUCACAGACACAACGGUCCGUCGAGGGUCUCAUUUCCAAAACACUUGAACUCUUGAAAUUUGGGUACUGGACUACUUCUCUGAUCUUCUUGACGAACCAGCCAGGACGGACCGUCAUGGCUACGACGGUUCGUCACGCACUCCGUAACCCCACACUUGGUCAGACUUCCCCAUCUUCCUUCAGCAGCUGCACUACGAUGCCACCUAUGGACCAUCACGGGCACAACGAACCGUCAUAAGCUCCGUAGGUGGUAGUUUUCUGUAUUUCUUGCUCAAAAACCUCCGCAUUCAUCUUUUAGACAGUUUCCUACAAAUAAAAAGAGAAACUUAAAUAAAAAUUAGUACAAAAAGACUUUUGGACCCGCUAAACUAAGGAAAAAGCAUUAAAAAUACCGUGAAACCACGGUAUAUCAGCGUCUGAAGAUUAUGUAAGUAAAACAGAAUUCACACAAUCUUCUUUGGAUCUGAAUACACUUCAAAAGAUGAUACAAGAUUCAGUUGGAGUUGCUUUCCUCGGAGCUAUAUCUAGUGCUAUCCAUGUUGCCUAUCCUGGUAAGAAUUUAAAUAAGAAUUCAUAAGUUUGGCAUAUAAAUUUGACGGUAUCUAAUCAUAUGACAUGAGAUAUUCAUAAUCUACACUCUUUAUCAACUCCAUCAGAAAAUCAUCUUACUCAUAAUCAAUGGUGAUACUUUACUUGCCUCUAAGAUUGAAAAAUUAUCUUUCUUUACUAAUCUUAUAUCGGUUGGACAAUUGGUGAAAUUAAAUUGUCUUGUUAAUUUCUCACGUUUUUGUUGUGUUGUCCAGAAUCUGAAGUCAUGAAAGGUGAUCACCAAGGGUCGUAAAGUUGGAAGAAUGUUCGAGUUGUCCAUGUCUGAAACACCUCAAUAUGCUUGUUAUAUGUCUACCACUAAAGGAGACAUCACUAACUCAAACAAAUUGUGGUACUUUUGGAAUCAUUGUUGUGGAUACAUGAUCAAAAACUUUCUUUCAUGUUACAAUAUUGUCUUCAUUUGAAUAAGAAAUCAUGGAUUUUAUCUUCCAAAUUUCCUUGUGAAAAUUGUUCUAAAUCCAAAAAUCAUAAAUUGUCUUAUGACUUUAUUUAUGAUUUGAUUGACAAUGAUGUAUAGGGUUCUGCACUAAUUUCAUCUAGAUUGGGGUAUCGAUAUUUUUAUCUUGUUAAUUGAUCAUGUUGCUCGACAUACACGGUCAUCUUUUUGUAGAAAUGAAUGUGAAGUUCCUAAAAUCAUACAAUAAUUUGUCACCUAUGUUGAGAUUCAGUUAAAUAAAUGAAUAAAAAAUUUUCGAUCUGAUUCUGGUGAGGAAUACAUGAAGCUAGAAUUCAUAGAUUUUUUCAAAGAUAGAGACGUUACUUCACAACACUCUUGUUCAUACACAGCUGAGCAAAAUGGAUGGUAGAAAUAAAAAUAGACAUGUUUUGAAAAUCACAUCAAUCUUCUUUAUAUAUGAAAUGUUCCUAAAAUAUUUUGGGUUGAAGUCAUCCAAAUUUAUGUCUAUUUAAUAAACAGAUACACCAUUACCAUUAACCAAAAUGAUAGCCACAUUUCUUUCUUUUUGGUAAACUCCCUGAUUAUUCUCAUGAUCUCAUCUAAAAAUUUUUGACUCUGUGUUUUUUGUCCAUUUAACUAGACAUUAACAUCAUAAAUUAUCUGCUGCAGCUUUGAGGUGUAUUUUCUUGGGUUAUAAUGAUGUUCAAAAGGGCUAUCUUUGUUAUGGUUCUUCUAAGCGAAAAUUGUGAAUUUCAUAACAUGUAAUUUUCUUUGAGCAUCUGUUUGAUUACCCUGUUACCACUUCAAUAAAAUCAUACUCUGUCACCUUUCUGUACAAGCUUGAGAAUCAGCAGGAACAAAAUUUCACAUCUUUCAACAAAAACACUAAUGGCAUUACAGAUGAUCCAAGUCAAUCAGAUGCAUUCCGUACGAAUAAUUUAGUUAAUAGUACUUUUUCACAUAAUUCAUUUACCUUUUUUCACUGACUCAUUUGAUAAUAAUGAUUAUUGUGAUUAGGGGUGUACAAAUCGAAUCAUUAAGUCAAAUCGAACCGACGAACCAAAUUAAAUAAAAAAAAAUCGACUUGUGGUUUGGCUAUUGAAAAAAAAAACUGAUCACUCUUGGUUUGGUUUGGUAUUAGAAAGAUAAAAAAAUAUUAUUUACAUAUAAUCUACUUUGGUGAUAUAUUCUUAGUUAGUUUAUGAUUUUCACUUUUAUAUAUUUUAUUUAAAAUUUGAAUUUGUAAAAUUUUGUAUAUAUACAUAUAUAUAAAAUUUAUUUUAUUUAUAGCUAAACAAUAUUAUUUGAUAAUGUACUUUGCUAAUAUAUUUUUAGUUAGUUUAUAGUUUUCAAUGUUUAUCGAUUUUAUUUUAAAUUUGGAUUUGUAAAAAUUAUAAAUAUUUUAUCUUUUGUUAAGAUCCGAAGUUAUAAUUAUAUUUUUAUAGUUUUUUAAAUUCGAAGUUGACAAUUUACUUUGGAAAUAUUUUUUGUAUUCAGUUUGCAUCUAGCCUUUGAUUUUAUUAGUUUAGCAUAAUGAACGUUCAUAUUUUUUUAAAAAAAUAUUUUGUACUCAUGUGAAUUUCAUAGUCUUUUCAAAAAUUUCUAUCCACUUAACAUUUUUUAAGUUUAGUUUAUUACACACGUAAGUGAAAAACUAUUUAUCGCUUUUUCGAAUAUGGUAUAGUUGUAAAAAAUUGAAAAAAUUAAAAAACGGAAAAAACCCGAAAGAACCGACUAAAACUGAAAUCGAAAAAACCGACUUUAUAUGGUUUGAUUUGGUUUUUAGACUUGAUAAACUGACAUAACUAGUUUAGAUUUUUUUAAAUUAAAAAAUCAAAUCGAACCGACCUAUGUACACCCUUAAUUGUGAUGGUGAACCUGUACCAAGUGACCAAAUAAAUUAUUCUAUUUCUUCUCUUUGUCACUCUAAACAAAAAAUAUUUGUCCCAGAUCGAUAUGGAUACUCUUCUGGCAGAUACGAUAGAUCGUAUGCCUUACUUGCUACUUUGAAUUCUAUUUUUGUCCCAACCACUUACCAACAAAUAUCAAGUCAUGACUACUGGAAAAAAGCAAUGAAAGAGGAACUUUCAGUGUUAGAAGAAAAUCAUACAUGGAAUUUGAUAUCCAAAUCCAUUGAAGCUUCUGUUAUUGGAAAAAGAUGGAUUUAUUUCGUGAAAAUGAAGUUUUGAUGGCACAUUGGAGAGGUACAAAACUCGACUAGUAGCUCAAGAAUAAAAAUAAGAAUAAGACUUAAACUAUGAGGAGAUUUUUGCUCAUGUUGCGAAAAUGACAACAAUUCGUGUGUUGCUCACUAUAGCAUCAAUUAAAUAGUGAAAACUUCAUCAAAUGAAUGUGAAAAAUGAAUUUUUUGCAUGGUGAACUACAUGAGCUUAUAUACAUGAAGCCUCCUCCAAGGUACAACCAAGUUCAAUCUGAUAUGGUUUGUUGUCUUUGGAGAUCUCUUUAUGGUCUCAAGCAAGCACCACGUGCAUGGUUUGAGAAGUUUCGAUCUACCAUCAUAAAUGCUGGAUUUUCUCAAACUGUUUCUGUUUCUGAUUAUUCAUAAUUAAUUUGGCAUCGCAUGAUAAUUUUACUAUUGUAUGUGGAUGGUAUGAUUACAACCGGCAAUGAUAAGAUUGAAAUUAUACAACUCAAGAAUCUUCUUAAUGCAACUUUCAAAAUAAAAGACCUUGGCAGGUUAACAUAUUUUUGGGGUUGGAGGUCGAAUAUUUGUAGGAUGGUAUUAUGCUAAGGCAAAGGAAGUAUGCAGAGGAUCUUGUCACACAAGCAUGUCUAAGUAAUCAGAAGGUCACUCACACACCGAUCAAUGUGAAGUACAAAAAUGAUAAUGGUGACUCACUUGCAGAACCAACAUUGUACAUGAGGCUCAUUGGUUGUCUAAUAUAUUUGACAAUAACAAGACUUGACAUCUCUUAUCAAGUUCAAGUCUUGAGCCAAUUUGUUACAAAUCCUUGCCAACAUCAUUUUUUUGUCCACCUCAGAAUCAUUCUCUAUGUUUGAUAUACAAAUAAUCAAGGUCUUUUUUUUUUUCAUUCAGCAACAUCUCUAAAUCUCGAAAAAGGGUAUACAGAUGCAGAUUAGGCAGAAUGAAACUCUCGAAAGUCUACGAUAGGAUGGUAUAUGAUAAUCAGAUCAUCACUUGUCUUAUAGAAGUGCAAGAUUCAUCCAAAAAAAAUUAAAAUCAUCAAUGAAGGCAGAAUAUAGAUCAACGUUAGUCGUUUGCUCUGAAAUUGUGUGGAUAUGUCGAUUGAUGGUAGAACUUCAUAUCUCUUUUGAUGGCUCCACUACAUUACAUGCUGACAAUACUAAUCCACUACCAACAAAUUCGAUCCACCAUGAGAACACAAAACACAUUGAAGUGGAUUGCCAUUAUAUUCGAGAACUUGUUGUUGAUAAGUCAUUAGUCUUCGACAUAUCACGUUGCAUGAUCAAUUAACAAACUUGUUUACAAAAGCGAUGAAAAGAAACAGACACCAAUUCUUAUUAUCCAAAUAAAUGCUUCUUGAUAGUAACAUCAAUUUGAGAGGGGAUAUUGACCAUAUCAUAUAUGAUUUGAUAUGAUUCCAAAUAUCUGAUAUGAUUCAAAAAUAUUCGGGACAAUAUUCUAAUUUAGUUAUGCACAAUCACACUAUUGAUAUGUGCAAGAUAAGAAAAAUAUUGUGCUAGAAUCAUGCUUGUACCUUUGUAUAUAAAUAGUGGAUAGCUUAUUAAUUCUAAAGACAAGAAAUACAUAAUAGUUUUCAACUCUUUUUUAUCUCUGAUUUCUCAAUUGUUAUCAAUCACUUGUUGUAUUUUAUAUAUAAAUAUAAUCUAAUUUGAACAGAUAGAAAAAAUUGAGGUUUAUAACACUUUUCAAAUUUUAUAUAUUAGAAUACUUAUACAAUUGAAUACUUGUAGUACAUAAGGUGUCAUUGUCACUUAUAUUGGAUUAUUAACAAGAGUUUAAAAUGUUGAAUCGUUAAUAUAAGUGUAUUUUUGAAUUUUUUUUAUAUGAGAUAUGUGUCAAAAACAUACCUAAGUUAUUUUUUUUAGUGUUAUAUCUAAACUAUUGAGAGUGUGAAUUUCAUAACUAUGUUAACACUUAUUAGUGUAAGAAACACGUCUCAGUGGUGUGUGUGAUACUCAUUCUCUUUUAUUUGUAAAAAACUUGUCACGUGACAUUUCACAUGAAAAAAUAUUUCACCAUUACAAAAAUUAAAUAAAUCAUUAAUAUUAGUUAAAACUAAAAAUUAAAAAAUUGGUUCAUGCAGAGGUUUCAAUUUACACCUGCUUUGACUGAGGCACUUAGAGACAAGGUAUUUUCCCUAAAUAAUUCUUAGGGACAAAUGCAUAGUCUAUCUUGACAAUGACAUCCUAAUAAAUCAUUUAUUUAGUCUGAGAGAAUAAAAUAAUUAAGUUUGAAGGUGAAGCUUGUAGCGUUUAUGAUGAAAAUUAAAGGACGGUUCAUGUACACCUGCAGUGCUUUGGGAUAUUUCUCAGUAUGAUGUUAGAGUAAUGCUAAAUGGCUAAAUUUUGGCCAUAAUUUGACCAAAAUGUAAAAAGACUAGAGUAUCCUUGUUUUAGUUUUUGCAUUUAUUUCCUCAAUACUUUUCUCUCCAAACAAAACUAACUUUUUUCUAUUUCCCAUACUCCUUCAACUACUAAAACACAAAUUAUUUCGCUACCAAGAAAAUGAAAAAUGUUUUUUUGUGUAUAAUAUUUUUUUGUGUUUAUAGUUCAUCCUAUUAUUUUUAAAAAUAAAUAUUGCUUAGUUAAUAAAAAAUUGUAAGCUUUAGUUAAAAAAAUAUAUUUGUAAUUUAUUUUUAUACAUUAAUAUUUUUUCAUUAUAUACCAAAUUAUGUUCUACAUAUAUAUAAUAUACACAGCUUUCUUUAUCGCUUUCCUGAACUCAAUUUUGAUCAUAAGGUGAACACAUACCUUUGAAAAAUUAUGUUUGCUUAAAAUAAACUUUUUUAAUUGUAAAAGAUAAUUAAAUUUCUCAUUAAUAAAAACGACAAAUGACUAUCUUAUUUACUUAAGAUUAUACAUAAUUAUUUUGUAAUACAAAACUAAUAAAAUAUCAUAAUUAAGCAAAUAUUAAAAAAGUAUAAUUAAAUUUUUCUAUAAAUAUAACCAAUUAUAUAGAUUAGUCUAUAUAAUGAAUGUUUUUCAAAAGGAAAAAAAAUUAUAUCGAAAGUUAGACAUUUCUAAAUAUAAUUGAUUUAUAACUAUGCCAUGAAUAACACAUUAAUUUUUUAUAUUAUAAUCAUUUCACACAAGAAUUAACAUAUAUAGAAAAUGGUGAAAUUACUUCACUAAUUUUAACCAUAAAUAAAAAAUUCAUUUAUUUCAAUAAUAUAAUUAAGUGGAUAUUUCAAAACAAAUUAAUAAAUUAUCACUCAAUACCUACUUAUCAAUUACAAUACUUUAAAAUAGAUAUAUUUUAUACAUAUGUUAAAUUACAAUAUGUUUAACGUGUAUAAAUAAAGUAUAACAUAAUUAAGAUAUAUAUUUUUAAAAAUUAUGUUCAUUUAAUAUAAAAUUUUAAUAUUUUAAUAACGAUAAUCAAAACUCAAAAUACUUUAAAAUUGAUAUACACCGGCACAUUAUUAUAACACAUAAUUGAAUUUUUUAAAACAUAAUAAUUAAAUAUGUAGUUUAAAUUUUUUAAAAAUAUGUAGUUUAAUUCUUAAAUAUGUAGUUGUAAAUACCAAUUUAAUUUUUUAAAAAUAAUAACAAAACAUAAAUUUUAAAUAUGUAGUUUAAAUUUUUCAAAGCAUAAUAAUUAACAAUUAUGCAAUAUUACAACAUUAAUGUAUAAGUAUCUUGGGCUGUUGUUAAAUAGCAUCGACACUUACGAACCAUAUGAUUUUUAGUAUUUUCUUUCAUAUGUUGAUGACUAUCAAUUCUAUCAAUUUUAUAUAUAUAUAUAUAUAUAUAUAUAUAUAUAUAUAUAUAUAUAUAUAUAUAUAUAUAUAUAUUUAAAUAGGUAAUUUAAAUUAAUUUUUAUAAAGUGUGAAAUAAAAUUACUUAAUUUUAAAAAUUCUUAAUCAGUUCAAAACAAAUAUUAAUUUGAAAGCAAAUAAAUAAAUAAUAAUAAUAUUGUCACUAAAACUUCAUAUACUUAAUAUUUUAGCGUAUCAUUUAAUAACAAAUAUUUCUUUUAUAAAACAACAAAUAAUACUAAUAAAGGAACACACACACACGCACGCACGCACACACAUACGCGCGCGCGCACACACACACACAAUGAAGUCUAAUUCCGCUAGAGAAAGUUGAAUAUGAAUUAAACCAAAGAGGAGUUUUUGACUCAAAAAGUAAAACACACACACACACACACACACACAAAAUGAAGUCUAAUUCCGCUAGAGAAAGUUGAAUAUGAAUUAAACCAAAGAGGAGUUUUUGACUCAAAAAGUAAAACCUGCUUGCCCGUUGGUUAGCUGCAUCUGUUCUUUGAACAUGGAUGGCGGUACCGAUUCUAAGUCGUUCUUGUGCUCUAAAAGACUUGCAUCAUAAGAGAAAAAAAUGACCUGCGGGAAUUCACUCUCCUGCGCUAGUUAAUCAGAUGUCAUCCGAGUCGCCACCUUUUUUACUAGUAAGGACGCAUGUAGCCAAAAAACUUGCGAGAAUGACGUUUUCUUCGCUGCCUUCUCCUCUCCAAAGGCCAAGGGAGAGACUUAUAUAUAUAUAUGUCACGACCCAAAACCGAGCCGCGACUGGCACCCAUACUACCCUCCUAUGUGAGCGAACCAACCAAUCUAAACAUUAACUUUUCAAUAUAAUAUCAACAGAAAGUAAUGCGGAAGACUUAAACUCAUUAAUAAAAUUCAAUUCAAUAACUUCUAAAAACUCAACAACUAUUAUUCCCCAAAAUCUGAAAGUCAUCACCACAAGAACAUCUAUGAUCAAAUUACUAAGCUAAGAGUAUUCUAAGAAGCUAAAGCAAGUAAAAGCUAGUCCAUGCCGGAACUUCAAGGCAUCAAGACAUGAGGAAGAUCCAGUCCAAGCUAGAAGCAUUAGCUCACCCUGAUAUCCGGAGUAAUGAAGACUGGCUAGAGUUACGGUUGAGUUGAAGACGACGGCACAUUUGCUGCACUCCACAAAUAAACAAGAAGAAAACAUAAAAAUAGGAGGUCAGUACAAACACAAGUACUGAGUAGGUAUCAUCGGCCAAGUCAGAAUAGAGAACAGUAUAUAUCAAGUAAUAUCAUAAAUCAACUACGAUACUCAACAUGUAGCAACAACAAGUACUAUAAUCAUUAAUAAGUACCGCCAAGUUCACACAUGAGGACUCAAGCCUCAAUACCAUACUCAUUUGGGAAUUAGGUUCAUUAGAUUGAGUACAUUAACAUCUUUCAAGAUUCAUUAUCUUUAUUUCUCUUGUGUCGGUACGUGACACUCCGCUCCCUCAUUAUCUUUAUUCCUCCUGUGUCGGUACGUGACACUCCGAUCCCCUACUACUAUGUGUCGGAACGUGACACUCCGAUCCCCUAAUUCUAUAUGUCGGUUCGUGACACCCGAUCCCCUAAAUCUACGUGUCGGUUUGUGACACCCGAUCCCCUAAAUCUACGUGUCGAUUCGUGACACCCGAUCCCCUAAAUCUACGUGUUGGUUUGUGACAUCCGAUCCCCUAAAUCUACGUGUCGGUUCGUGAUACCCGAUCCCCUAAUCUCAUUCUAUCAAUUCAUCAAGCCUUCUCUCUUACCAAGGCAUCGUCAAUCUCAUUACUUUAGUUCAUCAAGCGUUCUUUUAUGCCAAGACAUCAUCAUUAACAAGAGAUUAGGUUUUUUUAUCAAGAUUUGGGAUUCAAUAGCUUCAUCAUGCUUAUUUCAUCACAAUCAUAUAAUCACAUUCAUGCAAGCAUACAAUUAAGCAUAUAGCAGGGUUUACAAUACUACCAAUACAUAUCGUUCACUAUUAAGAGUUUACUACGAAUAGAAUGAAAACCAUAACCUACCUCCACCGAAGAUUAGUGAUCAAGCAAGCAAUUUCCCAAGCUUUGUUUCUCUCUCUCUUUUUGUUCUUUCUAUUUUCUUUAUUCAAACCCUCUUUCUUUUACCCUAAUUAGCAUAUAAUUAAGAAUAAAAGAUGGCAAUAAUAACCCCACUAACUUUAUAAUUAAAGCAGGAAUAGUCAAAAACGUCCCUCAAAACAAUUAAGGAAAUCCGACUCAGACUGGGAUUACGCAGUCUGUGACGGCCCGUUGUGCCUGCGACGGUCCGUCCUGCUGCUCCGUCAACGAGUUCAGACACUCAAUUUCCUUGAAGAGUCUGUGACGGUCCGUCGUGCCCACGACGGUCCGUCCUGCCAUGUCGUUACGAAGUUCAGAGAGUCGAUUUCAGUACCCAUAUUUCAGAAUUUCUAAGUGUUUUGAAACGAGACCUCCUCGACGGUCCGUCGUGCCCAUGACGGUCCGUCGUGGGGUCCGUCGUCUGUCUCAAUUUUCCAGAAAUAAAAUCUGCUGCCUAAAACGACUAAACAGGUCGUUACAAUAGAUACCAAUUUACCCAUCGUUCGUCCUCAAACGAUCACAAGAAAAGAAACAAGGGCGAGAAGGAGUACCUGAAUCUGUAAACAGGUGUGGGUAUCUUUCUUGCAUAUCAGCCUCCUUCUCCUAAGUAGCCUCUUCAACUGGUCGAUUCUUCCAUUGAACUUUGAUGGAUGCAAUCUCCAUUGACCUCAACUUGCAAACUUCUCUACCUAAAAUAGCUACAGGUUCCUCCUCAUAAGACAAAUUCUCAUCAAGCAGGACCGAAUCCCAACGGAUAAUGUAGUUUCCAUCCCCAUGAUAUCUUUUCAACAUAGACACAUGGAUACAGGAUGCACUCCGGAACGCCCUGGAGGCAAGACUAACUCAUAAGCCACCUCCCCUACUCGCUUAAGUACUUCAAAGGGACCAAUAUACCUUGGGCUUAGUUUACCUCACUUACCAAACCGCAUCACCCCUUUCAUUGGCGAAACCUUCAACAAGACUUGUUCACCCUCCAUGAACUCUAAGUCUCUAACCUUUCGAUCUGCAUAUUCUUUUUGCCUACUUUGCGCCGCUAGAAGCUUUUCUUGAAUAGACUUCACUUUCUCUAAUGAAUCCCUCAAAAGGUCAGUACCCCAAGGUCUAACCUCAAAUGCAUCAAACCACCCAAUGGGAAACCUACAUCUUCUCCCAUACAGUGCUUCAAAUGGGGCCAUAUCAAUACUUGAGUGAUAGGUAUUGUUGUAGGAGAACUCUGCUAAGGGUAAGAAGCUAUCCCAAUGACCACCAACUUCUAUCACACAUGCACGAAGCAUAUCCUCCAACACUUGAAUCGUUUGCUCAGACUGACCAUCGGUCUGAGGAUGGAACGCAGUACUAAGGUCCAACCUAGUACCCAAUUCCGCAUGCAAUGUUUUCCAAAACUUAGAAGUAAACUGCGUACCUCUAUCUGAUAUGAUGGAGAGUGGAACCCCAUGCAACCGAACAAUUUCUGAGAUAUAGAUUUUGGCUAACUUCUCUGCAUUGUAAGUCACCUUGACCGGAAUGAAGUGAGCAGACUUAGUUAACCUAUCAACAAUCACCCAAAUAGAGUCAUACUUACCCAUUGUCUUUGGAAGACCAACCACGAAAUCCAUUGCGAUUCUCUCCCAUUUCCAUUCAGGAAUGGGCAUUCUCUGAAGUGUUCCUCCGGGCCUCUGGUGUUCAUACUUUACUUGUUGACAAUUUGGACAUUUGGCAAUAAAAUCAACAAUAUCACGUUUCAUUCCACUCCACCAAAAGUGUUGCUUUAGGUCACGGUACAUCUUGGUUGCACCCGGAUGUAUAGAAUACCUUGAACUAUGAGCCUCUGUCAGAAUAGUGUUGAUCAAAUCAUCGACGCGAGAUACACAUACCCUUCCCUUAAUCCUCAAAACACCUUCCUCAUUGAUUUUCACUUCUUUAGCCUCUCCUUGCAACACUUUAUCUCGGAUCCGGGUCAAUUUCUCAUCAUUAAAUUGCUUUCCCUUAAUCUUGUCAAGGAAGGAAGAUCUUGCCUCCACACAAGCCAAAAAUCCUCUCAUUUACUUCUAACCUCAUAAGGUCAUUAGCCAGAAUCUGAACCUCUCUAGCCAAUGGGCGUCUAGAAACUUGCAAGUGAGCUAGACUUCCCAUGCUUCCCGUCUUUCUACUUAAAGCAUCUGCCACAACAUUCGCUUUUCCCGGAUGAUACAAGAUAGUGAUAUCGUAGUCCUUUAGUAGUUCCAUCCAUCUCCUCUGUCUCAAGUUCAAAUCUUUCUGAGUAAAGACAUACUGUAGGCUGCGAUGAUCCGUAUAGACCUCACACUUAACCCCAUACAGAUAGUGUCUCCAUUGCUUUAAUGCAAACACUACCGCAGCCAAUUCCAAAUCAUGGGUCGGAUAGUUACGUUCAUGCACUUUUAAUUGUCUUGAAGCAUAAGCAAAUAUAUUCUUCUCUUGCAUUAGCACUUCACCCAAACCCGAAUAGGAUGCAUCACAAUAAACAAUGAAGUUCUUACCUUCCACGGGCAAGGUGAGAAUGGGUGCGGUAGUCAACAAAGUCUUGAGCUUCUGAAAGCUUUCUUCACACUCGUCCGACCAUACAAAUGGAACAUUCUGCUUAGUCAUGUUCGUCAAUUGGGAAGCAAUGGAAGAGAAUCCCUUAACAAAUCGAUGGUAAUAGCUAGCUAAACCAACAAAGCUCCUUAUUUCUGACACAUUAGUGGGUCUUACCCAAUUCUUCACUGUCUCAAUCUUAGAAGGAUCCACCAUCACUCCAUCCUUAGAAACCACGUGCCCCAAGAAGGACACCGAAUCUAGCCAAAACUCACACUUGGAGAAUUUGGCAUAAAGCUUUUUCUUCCUCAAUAUUUCCAAUACAAUUCUCAAAUGCUCCCCAUGUUCUUUCUUACUCUUUGAGUAUAUUAGUAUAUCAUCAAUAAAUACGAUCACAAAGAGAUCCAAAUAUGGCUUAAAAAUCCCGUUCAUCAAGCUCAUGAACACAACAGGGGUAUUCGUAAGACCAAAAGACAUCACUACAAAUUCUUAAUGCCCAUACCUGGUUCGAAAAGAAGUCUUUGGCACAUCCGUUGCCCGUAUUUUCAAUUGAUGAUAACCGGAUCUCAAGUCAAUCUUAGAGAAGACACAAGCACCUUGUAACUGAUCGAACAAGUCAUCAAUGCGAGGAAGAGGAUAGUUGUUCCUAAUAGUUACCUUGUUCAACUGCCGGUAGUCUAUGCACAUCCGAAAACUUCCAUCCUUCUUCUUCACAAACAAAACCGGAGCACCCCAAGGAGAUGCACUUGGUCUAAUAAAGCCUUUGCUCAACAACUCUUGAAGUUGGACCUUUAACUCUCUUAACUCCGCGGGAGACAUUCUAUAAGGGGGUAUAGAAAUGGGGCGAGUGCCCGGUUCAAGAUCAAUGCAGAAGUCAAUAUCCCUAUCUGGUGGCAUACCAGGAAGAUCUGCAGGGAACACAUCCAAAAACUCACGCACUACCGAAACCGACUCAAUCGAAGGUACUUGGGUAGUAUCAUCCCUGAGGUGUGCCAAGAAAGCUAAACAACCCUUAGUAACCAUUCUCUUAGCACGAAGAAAGGAGACGAUACGAACCGGAUUGGAAGUGUAGUCACCCUCCCACACUAAUGGAUCUGUCCCAGGCUUGGCUAACGUCACAGUUUUUAGCAUUACAAUCCAAGAUCAAGAAAUUCGGAGAAAGCCAAGUCAUACCCAGACUUACAUAAAAGUCAACUAGAAAAUCGUAGGCAUCCUCCGAUUCAGCACCCUUGAAGACUAGAGGUUUCAAUUUCAAGAACUUACUGAAAAGUUCAUGCUGAUCAUUUGUCAUUAUAGGCCCUGUAGUCAGAUGAGGAAACAUGCCUAUUUCCAAUGAGGAAUCCAUGCGGGGAGCCAUAGUAGCCGCAUGUUAUACCUCCGGAACCUGAGGUGCUGUUGCAAAAAAUACUGGGGUGUCUGGCCCUGAUCAGAUAACCCGCUAAGAUAAGUCAGAACCUGAUUGAUCAUCUCUGGGGUAGGUUGGGGUGGCAUUUCCUCAUUCUGCACUUUUUCAUUCUCCCCCUCUCUUACUACUUCCUCAGUCGGUGGAGGAGUCACCGCCCUAGUACCAGAUGGGCUAGGUGCUCGUCCUCUUCUUCUAGAGGACGUCCUCCCACGACCUCUACCGCGGCCUCUUGUCACUGCUCCUCUUUGAGCUACAGUCUCAGUGGCUGGCUCAAAUGCAUCUUGUCUCGCUGAUGUUGAUGUUGGCGCGGUUGUUGCUCUAGUUCUAACCAUUUGCGAAAUAGAGUGAGGAUGGUCAGAUACCAAUUUGUAUCACCUAGAUACCAAUUGGACCCAAGUAAUAGCACGAAAGAAAGAAUGAAAGAAUGGAAUUUUCCUAAAGUCUUAUAGCCUCUCAAAGAAAAGUAAAGGCGUCCCCCUACCGUUCCUUAAGACUCUACUAGACUCGUUCUUGUGUGAUGAGACCAACGAACCUAAUGCUCUGAUACCAAGUUUGUCACGACCCAAAACCGAGCCGCGACUGGCCCCCACACUUACCCUCAUAUGAGAGCGAAACAACCAAUCUAAACAUUAACAUUUCAAUAUAAUAUCAACAGAAAGUAAUGCGGAAGACUUAAACUCAUUAAUAAAACUCAAUUCAAUAACUUCUAAAAACUCAACAACUAUUUGUAACGACCUAUUUAGCCGUUUUGAGCAGCAGAUUUUAUUUCUGGAAAACUGGCCGAGACGACGGACCCCACGACCGACCGUCAUGGGCACGACGGAAAUCCCUCAAAACAGGAAUAGUCAAAAACGUCCCUCAAAACAAUUAAGGAAAUCCGACUCAGACUGGGAUUACGCAGUCUGUGACGGCCCGUCGUGCCUGCGACGAUCCGUCCUGCUGCUCCGUCACAGAGUUCAGAGACUCAAUUUCCUUGAAGAGUCUGUGACGGUCCGUUGUGCCCACGACGGUCCGUCCUGCCAUGUCGUUACGAAGUUCAGAGAGUCGAUUUCAGUACCCAUAUUUCAGAAUUUCUAAGUGUUUUGAAACGAGACCCCCUCGACGGUCCGUCGUGCCCAUGACGGUCCGUCGUCUGUCUCAAUUUUCCAGAAAUAAAAUCUGCUGCUCAAAACGACUAAACAGGUCGUUACAAUAUAUAUAUAUAUAUAUAUAUAUAUAUAUAUAUGAUGAAAUUUAAAUCUAGUUCAUGCUCAACAAAUUUUGUGUUGUCAGGUCAUGAGAGAACUAUAAAGAUGUUUUUCUUUCAAUUUUUUUUUAUAAAAGUUUAUUUUGAAAUCAUAUAGAACUUUUUAUAUCCAUUUUGUGUUAUUAUAAUUUUUCAACAAAGCACCAUAAAUAUUUUCAUAUAUAUAUAUACAUAUAUAUAUAUAUAUAUAUAUAUAUAUAUAUGAUGAAAUUUAAAUCUAGUUCAUGCUCAACAAAUUUUGUGUUGUCAUGUCAUGAGAGAACUAUAAAGAUGUUUUUCUUUCAAUUUUUUUUAUAAAAGUUUAUUUUGAAAUCAUAUAGAACUUUUUAUAUCCAUUUUGUGUUAUUAUAAUUUUUCAACAAAGCACCAUAAAUAUUUUCAUAAAACAAAAUAUUGUAUGUUUCUCUAGUAUUGAAAUAAUAAUAAAAAUUAAUUUUAUUGAGUCUUUAUUUGUGUAUGAUGUGAUUCAUAUACAGUCGAAGAUAUGAAGGUAAUCACAUAAAAGAGGACACAUGAUGGUAAUUUCAGUUAACUUCAUAUUUUGCUCACAUAUAUUUUGAGUAUAAUCGAAUAAAAUAUAUUUUUAUCAUUAAUUUUUUUCUAAAAAGUCGAAGCAUAACAACAACUCCUUUAAAUAAAUAAAGAGUAAUUGUUUAGCCAAUUCGCCAAUUUCAUAUUUUUAUUUUUGAGUGUUUUUAUAUAAACUUUUGAUAUUUAAAUUUAAAUAUAAAUUAUCUUUUCAAGAUUAGAAAUUAUAAAUUAAAAUUGAUAAUCUACUUCUCUUUAAUACUUUAAAAUUUUUCUUAUCCUUACGAAAUAAGAAAUGGAAAAUAAAUGAACAAAAAAGAAUAAGUAAAAAGGAGUAAAAUUUGAAAUUGAACGAGAUAUAUUUUUUAUUUUUUUUACUACUACGGUGUGUGUGUGUGUGUAUAUAUAUAUAUAUAUAUAUAUAUAUAUUAUUUUUAUUUAUUUAUUUUAGAUCUUGAAAAUUUCAAGUGAGAAGAGCGUGAGAGAAUUAUGUUUUCUUUGGUGAAUUCUUUGGUUACUUUCUUAUGUUUAACUAUAAAAUUAUCAAUAAUUAAUUUUAUCAAUCAUUUUCAAUGUACUGGAAAUACAAUUGAAGAAUAUAUUAAAGGGAAAAAAUGUCUAAAAAUAAACUAGUUUAUAGUGUGAACAUAUCCUUCUACAAUUUUGGCCAAAUUAUGGCCAACUUUUUAUGGCCAAAGGGAUUUUCCCUCUGAAGUAAUAGUCACGACAACAAAAAUAAUUUUUAGCAGCAAUAAAUAGACACAUUAAUAAAGAGUGUUAAUUUUUUUAUCGACUUAGUUAAGUGUCAUUAGAUUCGGUGUUGCUAAAGGCUUUGGGGUAGGACACAAUUAUACAAAAAAUAAAAGGUUACUAGGCCUUUCAACUUCAAACUCUGGAAAGGGAUGAAGUUGGCGAAGUAAUAUGUUAAUUAAAAUAAAAGGCCAAUAUUACGGCAUCUCCAAUCCAAACACCAAAUUUUACACCAAAUUUGGUGUCGCCAACUCCAGCCCACUGCACCAAAUUUUACACUAAAGAAUCUUUUUCUCUCUCUUCAUUAUUAUAUUAUUAUAUCUUAUUUCAUUUAUAUUUUCUUUUUAGUAAAACAUAUUCUUUCUAAAACAAUCAUCAUAUAUAAUUCAGAUUAUUUCCUUUUAUAAUGGUUUAAUAUUAAAUUAUUUUGUAUCAUAAUUUUUUAAAUAAUAUAAAUUGCUAACAAAUAUUGUACAUUAUACAUAACAAUGGAUAAUACAAAUAAAACUGAAAUCAUUAAUGAAAUAUAAUUAAAUAAAAAUUACAUAAUUUUAAAAAAUUAUUUUAAAUUUCACAUAAAUACUCAACUUUCAAAAUCACUACGGUGCUCUCAUAAAUGAUCUAUUAAUGCAUUACAUAGUUCAAAAUUAAUUUCUUUGUCCUUUAUUUUUAAAUAUUGAGCUAGAAAUUGUUGAAAUUGAUAAUUUUCAUCUAUUGUCAUUUCUAUGAUCGGAGUUGUACCUUCCGAUGCAUUUUGAAUCGGUGCAUUAAGAUCACACUCAUUCUCACUUAUCAUGUUUUGCAUUAUAAUACAUGAAGUUAAUAUAUCAUGUAACACUUCUUUUCUCCAAAAACGUGACGGUCGUGCGAUAAUUGCAAAACGAGAUUGUAGUUUAUACGAAUUAGAAAAAAUUACGUGGGAUGACAAACUAUACUCAGUAUUAAUUAAUAAGAGUAUAGUUUAAUUUAUUUACUCUCAGUAAUUAUAGUUUCAUUUUUUUGCCAUAAUUAAUGGGAUCCACCAACUAUUUGUAUACCAACCGUAAAAGACCUAUUUAUGAUUUUGUGUAUAACUUUAUGCAAAAUCAAUUUUGUCUCUCUUAUCCCCGUUUCAUCUCUUUCUCCUAAAAUCACUCCUCCACUCUAUUUUGAAUUUCAAAAUUUGGAGAUUUCUCGUUGUCCCUUCCAUCUUGCUCUCAAUUUUCGCAGGUAAUCGCCAAAAUCAACCCAUGAAUUUAUUUUUUUCCUUUAUCAACAAUUGUAUAUGUAUUAUGUUUUUUAGUUUUUCAUAUUUUUUUUAUAAAAAAAUCUUCCUUUCGUAUCUAAUACAAGUUCUUCAAAAUCAGCAUGUAGGAUUCAUCUCCAUCUGUAAGAAUUACCUGCUUGUGCAUAUAGUUGUUUGUACAUUGGAUCAUUAUAUACAAACUAGUCAAGGUAUUUGUGUUAUUAUAUUCAUAUUUUAAGUUUUUUGUAUAUUCAACUAGUUAUAUAUGUAUAUACAAUUACUUUUAAAAAAUUGAUAUAAUUAUUUGUAUUAUAAGUUAUUUUAAAUCAUAUUUUUUUUUUGUAUUUUACGUUAUUAUAUACAAAAUUGCUUGAGGGAUUUGUGUAUAUACAUGUGUUGUAUUCAUACCUUUAUUUAUACAUAUACAACUACUUAUAUAUGUAUAUUAUAAUUACUUUACAAUUUGAUACAAAUCAAACAAUUUAUAUAUUCAUUUUAUUCACAUACGUACAUAUAUAAACUUUGUUUAUACACACACAAUUUUUUGUAUAUUCAACUAGUUAUAUAUGUAUAUAAGUAAUUACUUUAAAAAAUCUGGUACAAUUAUUUGUACAAUAAUUUAUUGAGAUAAUUUCAGAGACCUCCCUCCAUGUUUCGCUUUAUAACACUCACCUCCCUUGUGGUUUACAAUAUUAUGUCUAUCUCCUUUAUUCCCGUUUACUUGUAACUAUUCUUUACACCUAUUUAAAAUAAAUAUAAAUUAAUUUAGAUUUGAUAAUUUUACCCUUCUUUAUAUUAAUAAAUAUUGUAUAAAAAGCAACUCAUUUAGCAUAUACUUUAAAAAUAAAUCAAUACAAAUACAUAUUUUUUUAUCUAACAAAAAUCAAAGUCUUCAUUCAAGCUGACCCACUAUUUUCACCAAAUAUUAACUUUUCAUCUCCAUUUCACUUUUAUCAAUUCACAUAGAUUUUUUCCUACAAUAACUCAUUAUUUUUCGGCAACAAUUUCUUCAAAUAUAAGAUAUAAAUGAACUCCCCAAGAAAGAAAUUCGAUAAGAAUGAUCAAAUUUUUUUCUAGUUAAACAUUUCCACGAGCGAAAAAGAAACAUGAUUCAACGAAUAGAGAUAAAUCAUUGAAAUUAGAUCUAAAUUUUCAUAUAUAAGGGUAAAAUUAUCAAAUCUAAAUUAAUUUAUAUUUAUUUUAAAUAGGUUUAAAGAAUGAUUACAAGAAAACUGAAAUAAGGGAGGUAGACGUAAUAUCGCAAGCCACAAGAGAGGUGAGUGUUAUAAAGCGAAACUUGGAGGGAGGUCUCUGAAAUUAUCCUGAAUUUGUUUUAGAUCACAAUUUUUUUUGUAAAAAUUUAAGGAAUCCCAUAGUGUAAUUCAAUAAUUACACUCUGUCCCGACAAAUUUAGUUUACUAAAAAUCCCUUAAAAUUUUUGUGACGUGAUACUUUAGACUCUAGUGAUACAUGGUAAAUUUAAACUGUAAAGAAAAAAAUGGGGAAAAAAUGCUACAUUUAAACUUGUUAACUAAAAUAGCUUAAUUUACGGUAACAGAUCAUUAAUCAACAUUAAAUUAGCACGUCAUUGGAUAUUAAUUUCAAAUUUUGAAAAUCAAAGAUUGUAUCAUCUAUUUUGAAUACAAUUUUCAAAACCGCAUGAUACAUAGAAAACAUUAUGAUACACAACAAAUUCAUGUAUCAAUGCAUCGUCUAAAACACUAUACACAUUGAUUCAAAAUGUAUCAGCAAGCACACUUGAUGGAUUCAAAAUGUAUCAAUGCAUCAUCUAAAAUACUAUGCACACUUGAUGGAUUCAAAAUGUAUCAGCAAACACUUCAUGUAUCAAUGCAUCGUCUAAAAAACUAUACACACUGAUUCAAAAUGUAUCAGCAAGCACAUUUGAUGACGCAAUUAUUGAAAUUAAUCACUGAUACAUGAUAAAAAUUUUCAAAAACCCUUGAUACAUAGGAAAUCAUAUGAUACACAUCUAAUUCAUGUAUCAAAUCAUAGACUAAACAUUAUAAUCCACUUAGUACUUAUGUAUUAAACCUAUUGUCUGAUACGUGAUGAUAAUUUUCAUAAUUUUUUGAUACAUAUUGGAUUCCUUAAAAUUUUUACUAAUUUCAACAAUAAUUUUGAAAUAAGUAUAAAAAUACAAACCCGAAACAAUGUAGGUGUGAAUCAUAUAUCCAAUUACGUGCUAAACCACAACAUGAUUUAAAAAUACACAUAAUAUGUGCAUAGCUCCUCCUAUGCAUAACAGUAGUGACUUACAAUCACUGGUGGUAAUUUUGUCGUGAAUAUGAGGUGCUUCAUAUUCAUGCUAGUUGCAUUAGUCACCACAAAAGCUCUAAAUUGUCAUCGAGGAAAGGUGAUUUUCUGCAGAGCUUGUUGUAAUUAGUCACCAUACACUCUCUUUAUCAUGUGUAAAGCCGGAGUAAAGUUUAGUAAAUGUUGGAGUAAGAAGAAUCGAAGACGUGGUGGAGUAAGAAGAACAAUAAGAACGGGAGAGAAAUUGUUCAGUUUUUUGAAAUUUCAAAUUUUUUGAAUUUUGAAAUUCAAAAUUUCAAAAUUGGGUGUUUUAAUUAAAAUUAAUUAAAUUAAUAAUUCAAAAUCCAAAAACUGAUUUAGAAGAUUGGGUGUUUUAGUGGAGAAAAAAUAGGCAUUAUAUUGGGGGAUUGUGUAUUAUAGGAGAGAGAAUAUUAUGUAUCUAUACACUUCUACUAAAAUUUAAAAAAAAUGAAUUAUGUAAUAUUUAAAAAAAAAGGAAAAUUAGAGAAUAUAAAACUUAUAGUUGUGUAUUUAAGUUUUUUUUUUGUAUUUUAUGUUAUUAUAUACAAAACUGCUUGAGAGAUUUAUGUAUAUACAAGUACUAUAUUCAUAUUUUUAUUUAUAUAUAUAUAUAAUUACUUGUAUAUGUUUAUAAUAAUUGCUUUAAAAUUUGGUACAAAUUAAACAAUUUAUAUUCAAUUUAUUUACAUUGUAUAUAAACUUUAUAUAUAUUAAAGAGUUUAGUUUCACGGAAAAAAGUUUGUUUUGUCUUUCUAUCACAACAUAAUUCUUUUUUGAGAAAAUAUUUGAUUUUGAAUGUUUAGCUUAAAUCAUGGAUUAUUUAAAUGUUUGUUACCGUAUUUAGGGCUACUGUUCUUAUGUAAUUGAAAAGUAAAAUAUAGUACAAAUUUAACAAAAAACGUUUUAUACAAAAUAAAAGUUACAAACAAUUUAAACUAUACCCAUAUAAUGUUAUUUUUAUAAAUUCAAUUUGCCAUAUAUAAAAUUUUUUCUAUAAAUAGUAGAAUUAACAUAAAUUUAUUUUUUAAAAAAAUUCAUAUAUAGAUGUUAAGACCCGAUUUCGAAAACUGAAGGGUUUCGAAGCCGAUUUCGCAACUUUGGCCAAUUUGUUAUAUUUUUAGGAAGUCACCACUUAAUCUUUUAGGAAAAAUUAAGAAAACCAAAUAAAAAAAGGAAGUUUAAAAGAAAACAUAAAAUCAGAGUUUUUGGGUAAGGGUUCAAAUAAUUCUCUAAGGAAGGGCUUAGGCACCUUAGGGAAUCCGCUGACACGCGGUUGACCGACGAAUUUUAAAGUUGGCUAAUUUUUAAGAUAAAACGUAGGAAUAUUUGUGAAAAUUUUUAUUUUAAGACAACUAAAAUCUUUUGAUACUUAUACACUCAUCUUAUUUCAAGUAUGAAAUAAGUCCAAUGUUAAAGUGUCAAAAUGAUAAUUUUAACUUAAUAUUUCUAUCCGAGGUCAAGUUUUAGAGUUGAAAAAUCAACACAUUAACUUAAACAUGGAAUUGAAAGCUAACUACUAACUAUGAAAGAAUAUAAAUGAUUCUCAAGUUAGUCUCGAAGCUUACAUUAUCUAACUUAAAAGAGGUUUUGAAGACUUAAAUAUUAAAACAACAAAAUAGAAGAGCCAUAAAAAAAAAAACCUCCAAAGGAUUCAUCUUAAGUUAAAAAAAGUUAACAACAAAACAAAGGGUUAGCAUUCACAAUGACCAAAAUAAUAACGAGAAAACAAACAUAAAUAAUAAAUUAUAAAAUUGAAAUUUCCAGCCCCUACUCGACCAUUUCGGGGCUGAAAUGUCGAUUUGUUACUUCGUCGAUUUUGGUUUUUAACCCCAUUUCAUGCUUCUUGCUUAGCUGCUGCCGGGAUUACUAUAUAAAUUGGACUUGUUAAAGUCCGAGAAAUCAACAAUUUGUGUCCCUUUGGGGACCUGCAGUUGCUGCUUCAGGUUUGGGAGUUUAAACCCAUUUUUUGCUCUUCAGUUUCGGCCUUUUAAGGCUGCUGCUGCUGCUGCAUUUUUUUGGUGUUUAAACCCAAUUUUUGCUCCUCAUUUGAGCUAUUUGGGAGCUGUUGUUGCUUCUUAUUUUUGGGUGUUUUACCCAAUAACGUAACUCCCUGGGUGUUUUACCCAAUAACGUAACUCCCUUUCGCGACUCCGAAGAAAGUUGACUCAAGAAGAGGAAUAAUGCAAGAGAAGGGAGUCCGGAUGGACUCAAAUAAAAUAGUUCAUGUAAAAUUCAAAGAAGAGAGAAAGGAUUAAUAACAAAUAAAUUUAAAGAGAUGCGUAUGAACAACAAGUCUUAACUACAUAUUUGACCUCAUCAAUAGAGAUCAAACAAGAAAGAGAUCACUUGGCCACAUAAAUGUUUCCAUUAAUCGCUACACAACUUCAACUAUAAGAGAUUAACAACAUGGAUCAACUUCAAGCCACAUAAAUUAAUAUUUGUCCAUCAGCCAAGAUUUUUAAAGGGAUACAACUAAAGAAAAUUUGAAAGAAGAAUCUAUCCAUGCUACUAUCAUUAUUCGACUUCCAACAAUACAGACAGACCAAAAAUAAGAACCAAUUUUGGAAAUCAGAGACUGCACUCAGCAACACCAUUGGUGGGCAAAAAUCUAAAAGAACAACAAAUAUUCAUACCCCAAGCCAAUAAAAUAGCAAAUAUAACAUGAGAACUUUGGAACAUCUUGUUUGAGUCAAUUCUCUAAAGUUGGAUUAGAACAUAGAACAAGUGAUCUCAUUGGAAGAGAUAACAAAAUUAGAAAUCAAUCUUAUUAACUUGGUGGGUUCAUAUCACAUAAAGGUCGCCGAUGGAAAGAAGCUAUAUGACAGAAUCCAAAUAUACAAACUUAACAUCAAACUAGUUCAAACACUAAGCGAGGAUAAGUUGACAAACUUCAUGUGAGAGCUAAUUUUGAAGAGAAUGAAAGAGACAAUAAAUCUGGUUUAAUGCACACAAAUAACGGGGAAAAGAAAUUAACCAUAUAUCUUAGCUUAAGCAAAAUAAUCAAACUAAUUCAAAUAUAAGAAACAUGUCAAACAUCGACCAAUACAAGAGAAAGCCACCAGUAAUCCUAACUACAUGGUGCGACAAACAAUUUGAGCAAAGAAACAGCAAGCAAUGGAUAGCAAUUAUGAAUGUCCUAUUCUAAUUCAAAAUAUUUAAGAAGUGGGCAGAAAGGUAUUAAGCAAGAAUUUUGCAGAUUUUCCUAGGACUCAAACUCGUCAAUAAUUUGAACAAAAAUAAUAAUAAAUAAACGAACAAUCUGUAAAGUGUAUGAAAAUAAAGUAAAGAAAAAAAAAAUCUUAAUCGAAGAACUUAAUAAAUAAAAGAUAUGAGCCAACACGAACCAGAUGCUUAAUUUCUACAAGAACAAGUGUAACGACUAAGACCAAGAUAAACAAUGACCUUUAGAACUAAUCUCAGAUAAGAAACACAAACAAGACACCAAAAAUGUUAGGAAAAUUUAUAACAAAAUCAUAACGCUGAGAACAUUACUGGUUGCUUAAGAUGUUAAACCAAAGUAUAACACAGGAAAACUAAAACAAAGCUAAGAACACCAAAUAAAUAGAAAGCAUAAAAGAGUUGGGAAUUAAACAAAACAGAGUUAAGAAAGAAUUUACCUCAUUCCGGGCAGCGAACUGAAACGACGAGUAAAGAAAAUGAUUCCACCACCUUUAUCAACUCGGAAAACCAAAAAACUUAAACUAUCGAAAUAAGAUUUCCCAAACCUUUAUGGGGUACUCUCUCGUUUCAAAAAAAAAUCCUCCUCCUGAACAAUGAAUGAAGAAGGUUUAUAUAGUGCAACUUCUGGGUUAAAAUAUAAAGGGGGAAACAAUGUGGGACAAGCUGAGAUUUCAAAUUUUCUGGAGAAUAAGGUGUGAACUGCAAUUCGUACCAAAUUCUAACGAAUUGGGGCGGAGAGUCGUCCGAUUUCGAGCCAAGGACGAACUCCGAAGGAGAUGGAGACACCUUGAAAAUUUUGAGUACAUUACUCGUACGAGAAGAAAAAGAGAGAGCAUGCCAUUUUGCUGGGUUCGUGUCUGAUGCGAGUUGGAGUUGCGUGAUUUUUUGGUUUUGUCGCGUUGCUUGUGAGUUGUUUUGCUG